AACAUUGUAAGGACUAGACAAUGACUUUCUAGGCCUAACUUAAGGGCUUAACAAUCUCAUAUGGCUAAAAAAUCAGAUCCUAAAUGGAGAGGGUCUCCCAUUUUCCUCGAAAUUUUUUAGCUUUUUGCAUAAAAAGUUAUAUCCUUUACACUAUGUUUAGCCAAAAUCUGCUGCAUAAUUUUUUAAAAUGUCGUUAUGCUGGUUGCCUUUAUGCUCCUCCAUGACUUAACUUUUGGGGUUUAGUUUUCAAUCACCAUUAAUGCCCACAAAACAACAUUCUUACACUAUAAAACUUCUAGUUGUUUCUAGUUAUUUCAAGAUCGUCUAAUCCCCCCCCUCCUUUUUUUAGGGAUUUUAAUAGGGUUUUUGUUCGGAAUUGAAAUUAACCAAUAUUUAACAAAAACAUUUCACACUAGCUGUGAAUUUUGACAUCUCAAUUUUUUAAGAAUAAUGUUUAAGAAUAAGGUUUCAUUAUACCUCCUCUGCAAAAGGAGGGGAGAGGGUUUGAACACAAAAAAUAGAGGUGAGAAAAUUUUGUUUGUUUGGUUCACUGGAAAAUCAAUUUGUAGGGAGAGAAAAAGAGUUGUGGGUGAUAUUAUAUAUAGAAGUAUUUUAGUCAAAGUGUAAUUUUUCAAAUGUAUUAGAAUGCGUUGUUUAAUUUACGUGCUUCUUCUUUCUCGUCUCUGCAAUUCUCUUUUCUUCCUUCUUUUCCUCAUUUCUUGCUAGAGCGACCUUUGUUAAUUUUCAUUUUAUUCCUGAAUUUUCAACUCUUUGGAAUCUAUCCUUGAAUUUUAGCUCAUUUUGGAGAUUCUUUACAUUUUGAUCCUCUUUUCCUCCAUUCUUUUUCUUCUUCUUCAAAUCUUUUACACCCCCCUCCAAAAUCCAGCUACACAACAUUUAACCGGCCCUAUACAACCUCGUUUCAUUUCUUGUCAAGCUUCAUUCUAUUUAGUAAAAAAUUCCAUCUACUCUUGUUGUAACAUCCAUUUAUGUUUAUAGUCAAUUUACUUGAAAUUUUUUAUUGAAUUUAUAGUUUGCAUGUAUAUUUAAAUAUUGUUUUAUAAUAAUAAUUUUAUUGUAUUAAUGCAUGAUUUAUAUUUUUAGGGUUUUUUUGAGAUUCGGAGGAAAUUGAUUUAAUUUGUUAUUUGAUAAAUUUUAGUAUAAUUUUAUAAUUUAAGUGUAUUAAAAUUAAAAAAAUAAUAAGUGAUUUAAUAGGUAUCAAUAAAUUUGUUGUGAUUGAAAAUUUGGGUUUUUUGGAUUUCUUUGGCUAUGUGAGGAUUCUUUGUAUAGCAAUUUAAAAUAAUUCAGAUGAUAAAUGUUAAUUUUUUUUUAAUAAUUAUUAGGCAAAUUGGUGCAAAGCUUCUUUUAGAUUAUUUCUAAUGAGUUUUAUGUUUGGUAAACACAAUAAGCGAUUCACUUCCUUUUACUUUGGCCAAUCUAGCGGGACCAAUUAACUUAACAAGGAAGCUUAAUUUCUCCCACAUGAUGAAGGUAUCAAUCACUUUGUGUCUUCUUUUUUAUUAUUGUUUUUUUUUUAAUAUAUAGGAACCAACUGAUUGAUAUGUGAAUUUUUUUUUGGUUUAAUUAGUUUCAAUAUUAAGUUUGAUUUGUAUUUGAAAUUCCUCAUCUUUUUUGCGUCUCUAUAUGUCAAUAGCAUUGUUGAAGCAUGUAAUUAUUCUUGAAAUCUUGAAUAGGUUAUUAAUUUUGGGAAUGAAUGAAAUUAAUAUGUAACCUUAUUUGUAGCAUAUUAGUGUUAAAUUUGUGUAUUCCAAUAUAAUUGGUUGUUGUUAGGAUUUUGAUAACGUGAUUAUUGUGGUUGGGGAUUAUAAGUUGAAUUUUUUUUUUUUUUGUAAUCAUACUAAAUGAUGAUGGAAUUGUUGACAGAAAAUUCUGUUUAUUUUUUAAUUUUCUGAUAGUGUAAACAAGAUUAAUAAAAGAUAUGGUGACUGGAGUUUGGAGAAAUAUUCCUAGGCAAGGAGGGUUGUGGUGCAUGUAACGGUUGCUUAGAAUGAGUGUAGGAUGAUAUUAACUAAGAUAGGGUCUUGUGUUUAAUUACUAGGUUGCUGGUGAGAUCCAAAUGCCAGCAAAACCAAUUUAUGUACUCUGUGGAAGGAAAAUAUUUGGUCAGGUAUCUGUGGGAAACAUCUUACAUGAUGAAAAAUGCGAGCUGUGCUAGUUCGUUUUCCCUAAACCAGUGAGGAAAGUCACUUAUUGAUCUCACAAUUUGUUAAAACCAAUGACCAGAGUGCCACAAGAAUUUCUUCAUGCCUUUUUUUUUUUCUCAAAUUUAUUCUUAAUUAAUAAUAUCCUGUUUACACUAUCAACAGUAUUUCUACGCUAAAAACAUGAAUCUUGUAGCUGAAAGUCAAACGAUGCUAAGGAAUCUAUAAAUGUUUCUGAGAGAUGGAGUCUUUCUGACCACACGAGAAGGGGAAUAGCUUCUAAGUUGAAAGUAUGAACAAAGAUGCAACAUGGAGGCUGAUCUCUCUAAGGACUGCACAAGGGCAAUUGUUUGAUCUGUCUGUGAUAUCUUUUUCCUGUAUGUCAUAAUAUAGCCUGGUGAACUCCAAGCAGUUUUAGGAAAUUUCACAGGAUAAGCCAUCACCACUAUCAAUUGUAGGGUCUACAACAGUCUCUCCAAGUAUACUGGGGAGACUACAUGCUCAAGUAGCUGACGAAAUUAGGCUUUAUUUCUUCUUUUAUUGUUUGUGGUGGGGAAUUGUAACUUGGGCAAACUCCUAAGCCUCAACCUUAAAUUUUUUCUUUUUUUUUUUUGAAAGAUGCGUAUAUUACUUAAACGUCGAAGUUUGGCGGUAAUAGUAUAAAAGUUACACAAUAUCUUACUAUGACAAAAUGACUAGAAUAAAACGCAGUGUAAGAUAAACAAAAACAGAGAAGACCAGAAUGACCUCAAGCUAGACAUUCCUAUACAAAACAAACCUUAAAUUUUUUCCUUGCUGAUCAUGAUCAUAUUGGCUGAUUAAAUUGCAUGUUACCUAUGUGUUGAGUUGUUAGUUUCUUGAGGGUUUUUGGUUCUUGUUGAUUCCAGCAUUAUUUUCCUGCUUGCUAUGUAUCACAUACUAUAUAUUAUCUAUCAUCAGACUGAGCAAGCUGAAUUAAGCUCUAGAGUUGAAUCACCUGGUGAAUUCCUUAAAGAACCUGAGUAUGAGGUAGUGGGUGCAUGAGUACUUGAGGGUUUCCAUGUGUUUAUAAUACCAAGAUUUCAAAUUCCAAGUUGGGAUUAGUCCUAAAUUGAGUGAUUGCAGGAUUGUGAUGCACUGGAUUAGCAUAUAAUUCUCAGGACUUGCGAAUUCUAGUUGCAAUUUAACUGAUAAUUAACGAGUUGAGAUUUCUAGGUUUCCUGUUGGUUUUGAUUUACAACUUUUUCUUUCUUUCUUUGUUCUUUUUUCUUUUUCUGUGGAGUUGUCAAAAACCAGAUGGCUGAAAUUACAACACUCUUACAGGUAGAUGAUGAAGAAUAUUGACCCUCAUGCCUGCUUGUAACGACAAGCUCGCCUGAUGCCUACUUUCUGGUUUUAGUUUUCUUGUGAAUUACAGAGAACUAUGUCUAGGGUUUCGUUACCUCUACCAAAAAGCAUCAAUCAAAAUAAAUAAAUAAAUAAAAAGGUAUCUAUAAACUCCGAAAUCAUAUUGAAAUAAUAGAAAGAAGCAGCAGAAAAUUUUCAAGUGCAUGCUUUUAUGUUCUAUAAUGCAAGAGAAAGCAAGCAGAUAUUGACGACUUACAUGAAACUUGGGCAGCAGAUACACAAGGGCGGAGUCGAGUUUUCACCAGGGCCCUGCAUACAUCGACUUCGAAAGCCUUCAAAGAUCUUGCAUGGUAAGAGAGGGGAGAUGCUGAAACAACUGCACACGAUUUUUACUAGAUCUUUGGAGAAAGAAAUCUGCAGAAAUAUGACUUACCUGACGUUUUUUCAGUGCCUGAGCUUGUUUUUAUGUAUAAACUUGUAUGACAAUGUGUGGAAACAGUUCAUCCACUUCUUUUCUGACUGAUGGGGACACAAAAAAACGUGCCAUGGCGGGAAAAUACAGGGAUGAUUCCCAUAUCCCAACUGUUUCUUCUUCCAGGAGGUUGUACCGUUAUCUGUACUGUUUUUGGGAAGUACUGUGUUUUGAGAACAGGGCAUUUUGUGACUCCUUGAUUUCACUUCUUUUUUUUUCCUUUUUUUUUUCUCUCCCUCUAGAUGCACGAAUUGGGCUCUCCAAUUCAAGGUACAAAAGGGUUCUGAAUUUAAGUGGUACAUGAUUCCAAGCUUCAUCGUAUGGAUUGUAAUGAUUAGAAGUAAAAACUCUGACCAAAUGGAUCCAUGCAUACUCGUUGAUCCUGUUGAAUUCAUUGGUUGGCAGCUUUAGCUUUUGUUGAAAAUUUGGAAACCCUAAGAUAUUUUAUCAUUUGCCCUAGUAAUGGAUAGACUCAAAAUUAAUACCCUACCCCUCUUGCUUGUAGACUAGUACGAAAUUAAAAGCCUGAUGGUUAUGUGAACGCGAACCGGCAAGUACUAUCUAAAUAUGACAUGACAAGUAGCCAAUCCAGACACCGACCGGCACACAGCAAGAAAUUGCUUAGAAAAACGAGGGGCUUCCUUCUUCCGUUCUAGUUAUAAAUUGAUUACGUGAAUCUUGAUACACAACCUUGAAAUUGCUAAACAAACUGUGCCAAGCUAAAAACAAGGGGCAGUGUCAUAACUGAUUGAGAUUGUACAACAAUUUUGAUUUUACUGCUAGUCAGUGUCAACUGAUGGUGGACUUGCCGGGGGAGGAACUCGGACCAUUUUCAGUUGGUCAACCCGUCCAGUCACGUCAUGCUUUAAUAAUGGUCACUGGCUUUUAGCGAGGGCUCCAGCAGCGAAAAGCAGAUUCCUACGGGAAAACUGUCCAAAUAAUGGAGCACAGAGGUUAUAUACCGGAAAACCAAUAUCAAAAGGCAUAAAGAAGAAAGGAUAUCAAGUUUAAGGAGUUGAGCUUUUAGAGAAUUACCCUCAAAGUGUAAACUGGAGUAGACUUCGUCGGCAAAGUUUUUAACAAUCUCAAUCUGUUCGUAUUUCCACUUUUGCUGAUUAAAUGAAACAGGUACUGUAAAUGGCCCCGCAAAAAAAUAAAAAGGUUCAGAAUAAGAGACAUAACGGGCUCCUUUCACAGGGGAACUUACCUUUCCUCUGUCUUUGGGGCCUUUGUGCUUGUAGUUACAUCCCAUAAUUUUACAGUACAGUCAGCUGAACCAGAUGCUAGAAGAGAUCCUUCACAGCUGGCAUUCAAGAUUAGAGAAACAGGUUUUGUUAGAAAUCUAGCCAUCACUUACUAAAUAUUGACAGAGUCCAAAAGGUUGUUUUGAAAUUUCUUCUAGUGUCUCUAGGGUUUGCACCUGAAGGCAAGUGACCAUACGCAUGAAUUGUGGCCUAUCAAAGGUGAUAUGCAGCGGCCACUUGAGAGGUCCCACAUCAUGAUUGUCCCAUCUUCAUCAGCAGAUGCCAUAUAUCGACCAUCAGGUGACAUGGCCAAUGAUAAAAUCAUACUCCUAUGACCAAUAAAAAUGCGGACACACUCCCCGCUUUGUACAUCCCACAGUCUAACUGUUUUGUCACUGGAGCCAGUGGCUAUGUAGUUGCAGUUGGCAUGCCACUGCAAGCACUGAAAUAUAUGGAAUCCAAUUCAAUGUAGCUGAUAUUGCAGAAUUAGAAAACAAAGGAAAGUAUUUUACUAAAUUUGCUGACUUAAUAUUAUACAUAGAGCAGGCUCAACAUGAUAAAUUCAUCCGCAGUGGAUACAAAAAUUUAUGAGGGAGGUUAACUUGAAGAAUGAAUUUCACCCAUUUCUUCUAUUUAAAUAUCAUGAACUACUUUGUUGCAACCAAAUCCAGACUACCAGACCAAUAAAAUAGAUGUAAAAGCUACUUACAUCAACAUCAGACAAAUGACCUGCCAUUAUCCUCAAAGGCUGUAUCCUAUCCAUAGACCAAAUCCUUGCUGUGCGAUCAUGUGAAGCACUGGCAAAAUAUUGUCCCACAGGACUGAACUGCACCAAUAGUUUAGUAUGAACACAUGAGAAGUGAGGCAUGACCACUUAGUAUUAUGGAAAUCUCUGCCAUGGUCUCCUCAAUUUUGAUCACGUCAUCAAAAGACAAUGGAUGGAUAAAACAAUAAAAUCGAGUCAAAAUGAAGUGGGAAGUUCCAAUUUAUACCUGAACAUCCCAGACAGGGUAAUUAUGGCCCUUGUAGCAAACAAGAUUUGCAUUGAGUUUUGUGCUCCAUAAUCGAACUGCAGCAGAGCAGUGUGUCAUUUGCAAAAGAAAUAAAAUAAACAAAAAUAAAAAAACAAAAGAAAACUUUCAUGUUUGCAGAGAGAGAAAUAAGCAGUGAAAUGAUAAUCUAAGAGACUAUACCUGUCGUAUCUGCUGAAGACGACAAAAUAAAAUCCCCAAGAGGGCUAAAAGUGGCUGAAUGAACUGGACCUGAAUGACCCUGAAACAAUGUAUAAGAUCUUUUGCCACUGUUUGUACUCUGGCCUUGUUCACUCGGAGCAGCAUCAUUUUCACCCUGUAAAAUAGCUGACAGCAGAAACAUUUACCAUUAUAACUCCUCUUUGCCCAGUAUGUUUUAACAUGAAAACCAGCAUCUAAGCAUCGCCACAAUGACAACCAUAUCAGAAAGAUAUAGAAUUCUGGAUUAUGAUGGACUAACAUCUACAGUGUUUUUUCAUCAUGUCUCUGUAGCAGCUCUUUGGCUGGACUACAAUUGAGAAUUUUCCAAAUGGAUAAUGUACAAAAAACACACAGAACAAUUCAUCAAAACUCGGUAUUUACACCGUCUAAAAUACAUUUUGAAUUAGUAAAGUGUCAUAAGAGAUGAUUUGCAUAGUACUUUACUGCUGCUGGAAUCGAAGAACUAAGAAAUUAUCAAACAAACCAAUCCUUUGGAGAGACUUACAAUUGCCAGCUUGAUGUCCAAGCUUUGCCAUGUCCCAAACCUGUAAAGGCACAGAUCAGAAUUAGCAACAGCAGCGGCCAACAUGUUGGAUUUGGGUCAAGUAUGGGAGGCUACCUUCAGUGAGGAGUCUGAGAAUCCACCAGCAACCAAGGAUCCAUCAUGUGAAAUUGAUGAACAGUUUAAACUGGAAGAAAACUCAAAUAAAAAAAAUGAACAAUUGAUCAUGUAAAAAAAUUGAGAAGCUUGAUAAAAACACAUAAGUUCUGAAAUUACCCAUUAUGCGUGUUGAUAAAGGUAUAAAAGCUGACAGAUGGCAGUGUCACACUACUCAACUGUACACGGUUUCUCAAGUCCUCAAGAAUAGACUGUUCCACCUCAGCUGCCCUGAAGGAACUGUUAAUUUAUUAAUUAUCAGAAAUUAAGAAUGCAGCACUAACUUAUGUUAGAUUGUUUAUUCCUGUUGGACCUAAGCCACGCAAAAUCCUCAUAGCAGAGACAUCAUAAAAUAUAGUCAUGUGGGAAAAGAUGCAAGGCCAAGUUCACGUUGUAUACAUUAUGAGCCUAAUUUGGUUCCAGGGGUCAAUGAUAAAGCAUGGUAAUAUAAUAGAUUAAUCAAAUGAGGAAGAUGACAGGAUAAAGGAAAUAAGACUUUGAACAGUCAACAAGCGUGCCUGUAAAAACCUUAUUAAUCUAGUUGAUAGAGACGAGGGGUAUAGUUACUAUGAAUCCAUAGACCAGUUCCCCAUGGAACCCAGCUUCUGUUCAUAGUCACACUCACACCAUGCUGAGGACAUGUAAAGUAACAAUUUACCUUGGUUAGGUGUUAUUAAACAUUGCAUGCUCAUGUUUUUCAGCACCUAAUUAAAGCGAGUUUGUCACCUUGCAUGUCCUCAUAACAUGCCUAAAUGACAUGUCCAUUUUAUUCUAACACACCUGAAAGCACAUAUGAUGUGUUACAAGAUGUAAAAUAUCAUGUGUUCAAGUGUGUUGAAUAAGAAUUCCUACGUGUAUAAUAUACAAGGCUUCUCAAUAGUCUAUAAAAGGGAGCCAUAAAGAUUGUGACAGGAUCAAACUUCCUAUGUUCGAAUACGUUAUCUUUGCUUUAGCCUUGGCCUUUUAUGCAACACCCUCCUCUUUGUUAGCCUUGUAGAUAUCACCACCAUCCAUGUCCCAUUUAGAUAAUAUAUAUCACAACAAUGCCAUUGAUCUAAUGAAGAAAAUGACUUGGGAUUCGAGAAAAUACAUUACUGGCAAAGGAAGCUCAGGUUUGACUCGUGGUGCUGCAGAUACUGUAUUAGCUUCAGGACGAGCAAUUUUAGUUGUUGCACUAGCAGCUUUAUCCUUUUUUGACUUUUUGAUUGAAGCUCCUUGCUUUCCACUAUCUAUUGAUCUUUUCUGAAUAAGACAUUGAUGACAUCAAUGUAAAGAAUAACUCAAGCUUUAACAGAAAGGAAAACCUAUAGGACAAUCAAAGUAGAAAUAGCAUAUAUUACAAAAUUAAAUUAAAGAGAAGCAAGAAUUAUUAAGUAUAUGAAAUCCACAUUAAGGAAAUUAUGGAGGAGAAGCAGGAUUUGAUGAGUAUUAUACCUUAUUCUCAUCCAUGUCCACCUCUUUGGUUUCUCCUUCUGUCUUUUCAGAAUCUGAGAGAAUACCCCCUGUCUUCUCCAAUCGUUCUUCUAUAGAAUCUUCAAGCAACUAUAGCAAACAGAGAAAAGCUCAAAGUUAACACCUAAACAACAAAAGCAAUAAAAAUAACUAAUAACUUCCUCAUUUACUACCAAGAUGAAGAAUGCACUCACCCCCCAACGUAUUUCUUUUUUAUUUAUCUGAUUAGCUGCAUCCUGGCUGCUUCCAAUUAAUGUUACAGCAUCAGGAUCAUCAGAAAUUGAGAUGGGUUGUCCAGGAGAAACUGCCAACAUAAAAGAACUUGUAUUUUCUACAGAGUCCACCAAAUUCUUCAUGAACUGGACAUGCAGAUGCAACUAAUUUGGAAGUAAAAUGUACCUUGGAAGUUAAUAUGCUCAUUGACAAUCCCAAGAAUUAUAGUGCAUUUUGACUUCCGAAGAUACUGCAUCAGGAGCUCAUUCGAGUACUGAUAAUAGGGUUAAAACCAACUUUUGAGAAAUAUACUCCAACAGAAUUCUUAUAUGUUACAAAUUACAGAAGAAAACCCUUAAAUCACCUGACAUAUCUUAAUGUUGACUUUACUCUGCCUAAGAGUAUGAGCAAAUUCCAUUUCCUGACAGGAAAAAAUUAAAUAAAAAUAAUGAGAUCUUCUACAGAAGUAAUUUAACCAAAUUAAGAGUGGAAAAUGUAAUGCAAAAUCUUAGAGAGGUAUUAACCUCCAGAUGAGAGGGAGAAAGAACUCCUUCCAACUUUUGAAGGUCUCGUGAGUGCAUCAUCUCAUGAUCUUCACGGAAGCUAUUGAAAAAAUUUCUUGCUAGGGAUGUAAAAUGAUAAUAGCAAAAAUAUGAGACAACUGCCACACUAACGAGCCACUUAGGAAUUUACAGGUUUCAAUAAGGAUUAAAGAAGAGGAAAAAAUUCAAUAUUUACCCUCUUGGAUAUGUCCUUUAGCAACAAUAUCCAUAUAACAAUGGACAAAUACUGGAUAAAGCACACGAAGCAACUCAUGCUGCGGAGUUCAAAGGCAACCCACAUCAGCAAAGUACAAAAAUCACAUGCCAAAACAAAUAGGUACAUGUCGAACCAUGCACAAAGAAGAAAUUAAUCACUAGUUUACCUUGUACAGAUCAAGCGAACUAUAAGCCCACGACCUUAGUUUACUAUACUCAUCUUGGUAACGUGCUGGACUAUCCUCUGGUCUGAAUGACAAAAAUAAAAUUAUUUUGGAAAUGAAUAACCAGUCUCCAGACCGAAUGAAUAACCAAACUAUUAAAAAACUUGAAAGAAAAGGACAUUCUCAUUCCCUUGUAAAUAAAAUUCUCCAAAUUGAGCAUUUUCCAGGAGCCAUUUCUACUUUCAAAUUCUUAUUCAAAAUCUUCACUCUCAACCAAUCAAUUUUAGAAUCAUAAUGAGGGUUUCUCGCACACAUUGUUGUUUUAAGUGCCUCUUAUUUUUUUUCUUCCAAAGGAUUGUUGUCAUUGAAAUUCCAGUAAGUAAUCGAACAUAAAACUACUUCCAUGACUGAUUUCCACUCUCAAUGUGAAUUAAAAGUGCCUAUUUUUCACUAAUGUUAAGCCGUUUACUUCCCUCACUUCAGCUAAAACCCUAAAUACAUUUCUAAAAAACUCAAAUCUUUAAACAAAAAAUGUCCAAAUUAAACAGUAUAAAAGCAGAUAAAUUUUUCACUCUCUAUGCUUGCUUAAAUUCUUAGCAUAUUCGAAUCACAAAAAUACACUAAAAUUGUUCAUUUCACAUUGCCCAUGAAAGCCAUUUCCUUCUUCUCCAACAAUAAAAUCAGUGCACAACCAGCUAAAACCCUUGACUACUUACUUAUUCAAGAACCCAUUAUUUCUUUAGCAAUUUAGAACUCUGUGCUAAAAAAACAAGAAAAAAAACUACAAAAGCAUCAAGCUGAGUAAAAACUAAAAAGAAAGAAAAAGUAGGGUUCGUGAGUUACUGAGAGAGGGAGUGAAGGAGGGAAGAGAGAUCAGGAUCCGAGUGGAUACUGAUAGCAUUAUUGCUGUUGUUUUGUUGCUGCUGCUGCUGCUGGAUUUCUUCAUGGAAAGCGAGCUCUGCUUGCUUGAACCCUUUCUUCUUUAAAUAUGUCUCCACAAAUUUCACUACUGCUUCUUCGUCCAUAACUGCUCUUCCUCCUCUUCUUCUUCUUGAAGUAAAAGACCAAGGCAAAGUGCCCCUUCUUUACCUUCUUCAAAAUGAAGCACGCAUCUCUCUUCUUUCUCGCUUGCUUCCUGGUCGAAGCUUUUGCUGAUUUGGGAUGGUGAUAGGGCUUUGAUGUAUCAAUCUGGAGCCCAGCAAGAAUGGGUUUGUUUGAUAAUUGAGUCUUGCGAUUGUUGUUGGAACGUAUUUUUUAGAUUUGUUUUUUAUUUUCUUGAUUUACUGAAAUUUUAUGUUAAAAACAGUAAAUAAAAAAAAUAUUAUUUUUAAAAAUUAAUUUUUAAAAUAUCAUUCGUCACAAUUUUAAAUUCAAGUAUAAAAUCUAACUAUUAAGUUUGUAUAAUGGGUUUUUAAUAUAUAUAUUAAAAACAUCUAAAAAUAUUCUCUCGAUGAAAUAUAAUUUAAUUAUAAAAUUCAUAAAAUUAACUUAAUAGCUUUAUGAUUCAAACUUUGUAUAAGUUAGAUUUAUUUUUAAUCUAUAUACAAAGUUGAUGUGAUAAAAUUAAAAUGUUAAAAUGACUUAAUUAUUAUCUCAUCACUUCAAUUUAUCUUAUCAAACUCAUAUAAAAUUUAAUUAGAUUAAUUCAAAGAUUUUUUUUAAAUAUUCAAACAAUAUUAUUUUAUAAUAAAUCUGCAUAUCUACACUUAUAGGUUUACUUGGCAAUCCAGCUUUAACUUGAGUAAAGCAUUUUUAGUUAUGGUUUUUUAAAAAUAGGUUUUAAAAAUAUAUAUUUACUUAAAAUUGCUAUGAAAUGGAUUUUUACAUGCAAAAUAAGUAAAAAAACAAGUCUUUAUAAAUAAAAAAAAUAUUAUUUUAGCUUCUACAAAGCUGGACUUUAAAAAAUAAUUGUGUAGGGCUCAAUGCAAAAGGCACAAGUAAGUAAGUGAUAAGUAUGGAGGGUGUGCUUGAAAAGCAAUGACAACAGUAUGGUUUUGGGUGUUAUUAUUUGGCUAAUCAAACAACUUCUAAAUAUCUUCAUAUAUCUUGUUAUCUCAUGGUAGGAAAGAAAAACAUAUUGUCUUAAUAUUGUAAUGGCAUGUCAUCUAAACCAAAAAAAAAAAAAGAAGAAUGAAUCACAUGUUUCUUGAAAAUAAAAGAAAGAAAGAAAUCAUGAGUGUGGUUGAGUUAAUUGGUAUAAAAAUAGAAGGGAAAGUAGUAUUUAUUAUAGCGUUUGCUUCUUAUUUUGGAACAAAAAAGAAAAAAAUAAAGAAAAAAAACAAACUUAUUUGAUAUUCAUGUCUUUUUAAUCAAACAUGUUUCUAUCUUUUAUCUAUCUAUAUUUUUUUUUUAUCUUCAAGUAUUAACCAAACCCAAUUUAAGUGAUUGACUCUUUAACUCUAAUAUAGUUAGUGUGUGCUUGACAUUAUGGUAGUUUCUAUUGCUGUAUUUUGAAAAAAAUAUAUAUUUUUAGUUGCUACUAAUUGAAUUAAAAUAUAUGUUUGAUUAAAACUAUUUUUAUUGAAUAAAAAGUAGUUUAAAGAUGUUUAGUUAAAAUUACUAUUAAAAGUAUUGUUGAGAAUGAGAUGAAUAUAAAAAACAUGUAGUAAUUUCAUAACUUCAAAUUAUUCAAGAAGUAUGUGAUUAUUAAUACAUAAUAAAUAUAACAAAACACCAUUGAAGUCCUAGUUUAACAAUUAUAUAUACUACUAAUAAUAAAUGUAUUAGUUGCAAAGUUAUUCCAAGUAAGAAUAUAGGCAUUGUUAUUAUUUAUACAUGUCUUGAAAUAUAAACUAGUUGUAAUCUCAUCACGAACACUAUCCAUUCGACAUGGUUUAUGGUUUACAUUACUUUGUGAUAUUGGCAUGACAUUAGUUAAAAUCUCAUCAAGAAUAAAAUCUAAAUGGCAAUCAAAUUCUACAAAUACAUGAUUAUCUUGAGACUUUUUUCUAAAGUAAAUAUGUUGUGUUAUUGAUGUCACUAUAAUUUGAACUUGUGUUUUGCAAAAUUUUCUAUUUAUCUCUCCACACUUCAAAAGCACAUUCAUUCACACCGCAUAUUGAUGAGUGUACAUGAUUAAAUAUUUCUUUUUGACUUCUUGGUGUCCUCCAUGUCAAAAAUUUAGUAAGUGAUUUUUUUCAUCUUUAUAUAAACAUAAAAAUUCAUACUUAUUUAGAUAUUCAACAUCUACCAAAUAAUAUUUUAUUAUGAGAAUAAUUAAUGAAUUUGCAAGUUAUUACACAAAUUUUCUUCAAAUGGUUAUGUAAAAUAUAUUAAAGGGUUGUCAGCUACUACCAAAAAAAAAAAAAACACAUGUAAUGUGCAUAAACUUUUCAUUCUGUCCAAACAUAAAUGAAUUGCAUAUCAAAGCUACAUGCAACUAUUACGUUUUGAGUCAAUAAAUGAAAUUUAAUUUUUUAGAGAUAUAUAGGCAUACACAUGUGUGACAUGAAUUGCUCCUACACAAUUUUACAUCUAAUACAAGAAAACAUAUGUUUGUGAGUUAUUGAACAAAAAUAUCCCAAUAAUUUAUAUUUAGCAUUAAUAAUACAAAAAUAUAUUUGUAUUACCUUGAAAUAAGGCAUGUAUCUUGGAUUAAUCUCAAUUUCCCAUGCAAUGUUUCUAAAUCUAGAGUUUUCUAGUUUUACAAUAUCCAUAAAGAGCAAACACAUUUUUUCAAGCGCUUUCUUAAAAUAUUUACUAAUAGUUUUACAUAAAUAAUGAUAUUUUUCUUGAAGUUUUUUUUAUUUGAAACACCUAGUGUUAAUAUAUAAAGAAACAUGAUGAUAUUUUCUUGAAGAUUUUAACUCAUACUUUGAUUCAAAAUCAAUUCAUAAACUUUGCAAUAUUAUUGAAUUCAUUCAAAAUGUGUUGACACAUUAUUUCCAAUAUCUUUCUAAAAUUACAUUUUACUGUCUUAAAUCCAUAUGGUAUGAAAUAAUACAAGAUUCUUUAAGCUUACAAUUAAGAUCAUAUAUGAAGACAACUUUGGUUGUAUACAAUGCUAAUCUAUAAUAAUUAAGAUCUUGUUUCAAAACAAUUUAUCAUCCUUAAUAUUAUUAUCGUUGUUGUCAUCUAUAUUCUCAUCAUUAUCAACACCAUCACUAUAAUUAAUAUAUUAAACUACGCUAUUAAUCACCUCAUGAUAAUUUUUUUAAAAAAGAAUUAUCUUGAAAUAAAUGCAUUAAACUACUAUAACUAAAGUCUCAAUAUGAAACAUUAACAUCCAUUAAAGCAUUUUGCGUAACUUAAUUCAAACUAAAAAGUCAAGAGUCCAUCCUCUUAAUUUUAGAAUCUUAUUGAGGGUUUCUCGCACGCAUUCUUGUUUUAAGUGCCUCUUAUUUCUUCUUCUUCUUUUUUUUCAAAGGAUUGUUACAGUGUGAUUAAAAUUCCAGUAAUUGAACGUAAAACUACUUUCCAUGACUAAUUUCCACUCUCAAUGUACAAAAGCUCCAAUUUUUCGCUAAUGUUAAACUGUUUACUUCCCUCACCUAAUCUAAAACCCUAAAUAAAUUUCUAAGAACCUUAAAUCUUUAAACAAAAAAUGUCCAAAUUAAACAGCAUAAAAGCAGACAAAUUCUUCACUCUUUAUGCUUACUUAAAUUCUUAACACACUCUAAUCACAAAAAUUGUUCAUUUCACAUUGCCUAUUAAGAGUGUGUUUGGUAUUGCGGUAGCUAUUGUGGUUGUGGUUUAAAAAAAGUUGUUUUAUAAAAAGUACUUUUAGUUGAGUUUGGUUUGAAAAAAUAGGUGUUCGGUUAAAACUGUGGUUAAAAUUGAAGUUGAAGAAAAAAUAGUUUAAUGUGUUUGGUUAAAAAUGCUUUUAAAAUUGAGGUUAUAAAAUAAUUUUAAAAAUAUAUAUUAGUACUUAUGAUUUUUAAUUUAAAUAUUGUAGAUUUAACUAUUGCUAUUAUACCAUGAAAUAAAUCAUACUUUAUAUAAAAUAUUUUUUAUUAUUUCAUGAAACUAUUUAUAAUUUCAUUACGUACGAAAUACAUCAAACAAAAACUACAGUUUUUAUAAUAUUUUUAGCAUGUAAUAAAAUUAGAUAAAAUAUUAUCAGGAAUAAAUUUCACUCUAAACUAAUUUUUUUUUAAAUGUUAAAAAAAUAACACACUAAAAAAAAUAACACACUUAAAAAAAAAAAAAAAAAGAAGAAGAAAAGGCACGCAGGCAAGUGAACAGUGCAAGAGAAUUGUACUGUUCACUAUUUUUAAGUGAACAAUACAGUUCUCCUAUACUGUUCAUAUGAACAGUAUACACUAUAUACUGUUCAUGCUAAUUGCACUGUUCAUUGACACAGUGCAAUUAACAUGAACAGUACAAAAGCAUGAAAUGACUGCUUUUUGUUAGAAACGCAGAAUUUAAGUGGAGCCUAGCAAACAAUAAAGUGAUUUUUUUUUUAACCAAACGGUUUCACGCUGUGUUUUACCGCAAAGCCAAACGGGCUCUAAAGCCAUUUCUUUCUUCUACUACUGUAGAAUCAGUGCACAGCAAGCUAAAACCCUUGACGACUCACUUACUCAAGAACCCAUUAUUUCUUUACCAAUUUAGAACUCUGAGCUCCAAAAUAAUAAAAAAAACCCCACAAAAACAUCAUGCUGAGUAAAAACUGAUUUACUUAUAAUUUAAACUACCAAGCCUACCUGUUUGUUAUAAUGGGCAAAACACAUUAAGAUUAAAAAUAUUUCGGACAUGGUGUCCCCUGAUAAUUUUGUCAAAAACAAGAGAAGAAAAGGACAUUAAAUGGCUAAAAAUAUAUACUUGUAGAUUAAUUUGUAACAGAGCUCGAUGGUAUAUGCCAAUUAAUUAAAUUUGUUCCUUAGAAUCGCCGAAGCCUGUCUAAAGAUCUUCGUUCGUAUGUCUUGUUGUCUCAUGGUAGUAAAGAAAAAAGACGUUGUCUUCAACCUGCUUACUAUCAGUCAAUCACUGUACAAUCGUCAUCCCUCUAAACUCCAAAGAUGAACCAAUUGUCUCCAUUUUGUGUCCAGAACCUUGUUGCUGUGCUCAUUGUAAUGAUGCAAGGAAAAACACUGCCACUGAUUUCAACCUCCUCUUUCCUCCUCACUGCAGAUUCAACAAUCACUGCUCCUCGUAGCUUUGUUGGAAACGAGACGGAUUAUGAAGCCCUGCUAGCCUUCAAAGCAAAGAUACAAGACCCACAGUAAUACCUUAAUGGACGGCAACCAUUAAUGGAUGACAUUAUUAUCAUUAAUCCAUUGAUAAAUAUUAUCAUUAAUAGACGGCACUGUUCAAUAUUGACAAAUGCAACAACUCAUCCUUAAUGUUAAAGUUUAGCAGCUAUCAUUGUUGAAAAUGAGCUGGAGUUGGUCAAUCAUUCUUGACUAUAAAUAUACACCAAGAGAGCCAAGAAGACAAAGAGAGUUAGAGAGUGUAAGAGGAAGAGAAGAGAAGAUUUAGAGGGUCGUCAUCCCUCUAAAUUUCGAAGAUGAACCUAUUGUCUCCAUUUUGUGUCCAGAACCUUGUUGCUGUGCUCAUUGUACUGAUGCAAGGAAAAGCACUGCCACUGACUUCAACCUCCUCUUUCCUCCUCACUGCAGCUUCAACAAUCACUGCUCCUCGUAGCUUUGGUGGAAACGAGACGGAUUAUGAAGCCUUGCUAGCCUUCAAAGCAAAGAUACAAGACCCGCACAGUAAUACCUUGAGCUCGUGGAAUGAUUCUCUCGAUUUCUGCAACUGGCCAGGGAUCACAUGUGGCCGUCGACAUGGAAGGGUCAGAAUUAUCAAUCUAGUGGACCAAAAAUUGGCAGGCUCCUUGUCUCCUUACGUGGGAAAUAUUACCUUCCUUCAAGAAAUAAGACUCGCAAACAACACAAUUCAUGGUGAAAUUCCACCUGAAGUUGGGCGCCUGUUGAGAUUACGAGUUCUGAUGCUGACCAAUAAUUCCAUAGAAGGCAAAAUUCCAGCCAACUUGUCAGGCUGCUCGAGCCUUGCAGAGCUCUAUAUUGAUCGGAACAAGCUUGGAGGUGAAAUUCCUAUGGAGCUUGGUUUCUUGUCAAAGCUCACAAUACUCUCUUUUCGUCAGAAUAAUCUCCAGGGAAAGAUACCGCACUCCAUCGGUAAUCUUACCUCCCUUGAAAGUUUGUCUUUGAGAAGAAAUGUUUUGGAGGGAACUAUUCCUGAUUCUUUAGGCCGACUGAAGAGAUUAACUAGUCUUCUGCUCGGUGAAAAUAAACUUUCGGGUCUCAUCCCUCCAUCUCUAUAUAAUCUGUCGUUGAUUACUACUUUCUAUUUGGGUGGCAAUGGAUUUCGCGGAAGUCUUCUGUCGAAUUUAGGCCUAUCCUUUCCCCAUCUUCAAUGGCUUGCAUUAUGGCAGAACCAAUUUUCCGGACCGAUUCCAGGGUCGUUAUCCAAUGCUUCUGAGCUUGAAAUUAUUUCUUUUACAUGUAACAGUUUGACAGGAAAAAUACCUGAUAUUUUUGGAAAACUACAUCAUCUCUCUCGACUGAAUUUCGGAAGUAAUAACCUGGGAACCGGAGGAGAUGAUGAAAUGGCGUUUCUUGUUUCUCUGACUAACUGCAGCAUGUUGAAAGGUGUGAGCAUCAACAACAACAGAUUAGAAGGAUCGCUGCCGAUUACAGUAGGAAAUCUUUCAACAUAUAUGGCUUAUUUUGGGCUCUCAGGAAAUCACAUAGUCGGACGGAUCCCUUCAGGUAUAGGGAACUUAGUUGAAUUAACUUUCCUAUACAUGGAUCGAAAUCAAUUCACUGGUGAAAUUCCAACUUCUUUUGGUAAUCUACGAAAGCUAGAGCAGUUUUCACUCUUUUCCAAUAGACUGUCAGGAAAAAUUCCAUCUUCUUUAGGAAAUCUGCCAAUGUUGAGUGUCCUUUAUUUAGAUGAUAACAAAUUACAAGACACCAUCCCUGCUAGUCUUGGAGGUUGUAAGAACUUGGUGUCGCUGGGCCUUUCUAGGAACAACCUCAGUGGCAGCAUACCAGAACAACUUUUCGGUACCUCCUCUGUAUUAUUUUCACUAAAUCUAUCUCAUAACCAAUUUACUGGUUCCUUACCUUCAACCAUUGGUAGUCUAAAAGGUCUGAGUGAACUGGAUGUCUCUUGGAACAUGCUGUCUGGUGAAAUUCCAACUAGCCUUGGAGGAUGCACCAGCCUCGAGGUCCUGCACAUGGAGGAUAAUUUCUUCCAAGGAUCUAUUCCUUCAUCAUUUAGUUCUUUGAGGGGAAUUCAAUUUCUUGACCUUUCUUGUAACAAUCUGUCAGGCCAACUUCCAAACUCUCUUGUGACAAUCCCUUUCAUAAGUUUAAAUCUUUCCUAUAACAAUUUUGAGGGGGAGGUUCCGAGGAAGGGAGUUUUCACAAACGAGAGUGCAGUAUCAGUUGUUGGAAAUGACAAACUUUGUGGUGGAAUUUUGGUAUUGCAUUUGCCUGGAUGUCCCAACAAAGAGCCAAAGAAGACAAAAACGUCUCGUCUGCCAUAUUUAUUGGCAAUCACAAUACCUUGUGCUCUUGCUGGAGCCAUCACUGUCUCGUUCUUGUUUUGUUGGUUCAAAAAGAAAAGAAAGGAGCACUCUUCUGAUACUUUAUUGAAAGAGUCAUUUCCUCAAAUCUCUUACGAAAGGCUCUUUAAAGCAACCGAUGGAUUUUCUACACCCAACUUGAUUGGAGUUGGUAGUUUUAGCUCUGUGUACAAAGGAAAGAUUGAUGAAGAUGGAACACUGGUUGCAAUCAAAGUUCUUAACCUGCAACGCCGUGGAGCGUCUAAGAGUUUCAAAGAUGAAUGUGAAGCCUUGAGAAACAUUCGCCAUCGAAAUCUGGUGAAGAUCAUAACUUCUUGCUCAAGCAUUGAUUUUCAAGGUAAUAAUUUUAAAGCUCUAGUUUAUGAGUACAUGCCUAGAGGGAGUCUGGAGAAAUGGUUGCAUCCUACUCAAGAAACAGAGGAUGAUCAGCGGAUCAAUCAAGUUCAGCGUCCAAACCUUCUUGAGAGAAUCAACAUUGCCAUUGAUGUGGCUGCUGCACUUGACUAUCUUCAUCACCAUUGCCACAGCCCAAUCAUUCAUUGUGAUGUAAAACCAAGUAAUAUUCUUCUUGAUGAAGACAUGAUUGGCCAUCUUGGGGAUUUUGGGCUAGCUAGAAUUUUUCAAGAAUUUUCAGAACCAAGUCUUGAAAGCAGCUCGGCUGGAAUAAAGGGAACUACUGGAUAUGCUGCACCAGGUAACAAUUGUUCAUUUCCUUUGCCCAUUAUUCCCCUUAACAUAGCCAACAUCUUAAUUGAAUAGUUCACUAAAUACUUUGUUUGAUCAUAAAAUUGUACUGUAAUAACUUCAUCUCCUAGUAUAUCCGUCAUGUAAAAAGGAAAACAAAAUCUUCUUCAGCUAUAUUUACAUAUAUCUAAACUUUCUCGAGUGACAGAGUAUGGCCAAGGAAGAGAGGUGUCAAUAGAUGGAGAUGUCUACAGUUAUGGGAUCCUAUUGUUGGAGAUGAUGACAGGGAAGAGACCUAUCGAUGACACAUUUGAGAAAGGCCUUAAUCUUCACAAGUUUGCCAAGAUGGCCCUGCCCGACCAUGUUAUGGAGAUUACAGACCCAGUGCUUCUAAGUGAGAGACACUCGGAAAAUGCAGCAAGCAUGGAGGAGUGCCUGACUUCUUUGGUGAAAAUUGGAGUGGCAUGUUCCAUGGAUUCACCUAGAGAUCGAAUGGACAUGAGCAGGGUUGUCCGCGAGUUGCUCAUGGCCAGGGAUACUUUCCAAGGAACUGCAAGAAGGCCCAAAAACAACAAGUAUCCAGGUGCUCAUUGUAACUCCCGGGUAAAUUCUUGUAUUUUUUAUUUACAAAAAAAAAAAAGAAGGGGGGGAAAUAUUUUUAUAUAUAUAAUGGAGUGGAAAUUAUUAUUUAAAUAAUGUGAAUGUGGACAAGGAUUUAAAUUGAAUAAGUCAAACUUUUGGGCCAAAUGGUUUAAAACAAAACAAUGAAGGACUUAAAUGAAAAAGGAGCAAAACUUGUAAAUAUAAAAACAAGUGGGGAGUGGUUUUAAGGGGGAAGUGGCCGGCUAUGUUAGGGCUUGAGAGGGAAAAGAAUUGAGUGAAAUUUAUCUCAGUUUCUCCAAAAUAAAUUUAAAAAAAGAAGAAAAAGAAAAGAAAAGAAAAGAAAGGAGAUAUAACUAGUAAUUAAAGGUUAUUAGGAAGGGUUUGAACAAGAAAAUUUCAAAAGGGAAACAAAAGAUGUUUUUUUUAAAGAGGGGAGGCAUUGAGAGGAAAAUAAGGGGGGAAGGAGGAAAGAAAUUUGUGUGGUGAUUUCAAGCUUUCCAUCUCUUAUUUCUUUGAAUUAAAAGGUAACAAAUCUCUUCCUCUCAAUUAAAUAGAUAUAUUUAGUAUGUUAAGAUUUUAUUCAAUUUUAUUAGUGUAUAAUUAUGGUAUGAGUUGUGAGGUUUAAUGGGUUCACUUAUGAAAUUAUGAUGAAUUAAUGUUUUAAUAAAUGAAAUAAUAGUGGGUAAUGUUUCAAUUUGUGAAAUUGAAGAAAAAAAUCAUUAUGGGUUCUUUUGAGGAGAGGUUUCGGCCAAGAGAAAGAAAAUGAAUGAAAAUGUUGGAUCAAUAAUUAAUUAUUGAGUUAUGUUGUAAUAUUGAUGAUGAAGGAGUUAUAUUAGGGAUGAGUUAAUAUUGUUGAGUGAUAAUUAAAUGAAUUAUGUGAUAAUAUUGAUGAUGAAGAAAUAAUAUUAGUGAUGAGUUAAUAUUGUUGAGUGAUAGUUAAAUGAGUUAUGUGGUAAUAUUGAUGAGGAAGGAAUUAUAUUAGUGAUGAGUUAAUAUUGUUGUUUGAUAGUUAAAUAAAUUAUGUGGUAAUAUUGAUGAUGAAGAAAUUAUAUUAGUGAUGAGUUAAUAUUGUUGUUUGAUAGUUAAAUGAAUUAUGUGAUAAUAUUGAUGAUGAAGAAAUUAUAUUAGUGAUGAGUUAAUAUAUUGAGUGAUAAUUAAAUGAGUCAUGAGGUAAUAUUGAUGAUAAAGAAAUUAUGUUAGUGAUGAGUUGAUAUUGUUGUUGAAAAUUAAAUGAAUUUUGUGGUGAUGUGUUGAUGAAAUAAUUAAAUUAGCAAUGAGUUGUUUUGCUGGUUUGUUAAGUAAAGUGGUUAUGUGGUGAUGUUAUUGAUGAAAUAAUUAAAUUGAUGACAAGUUGAUUUUGUUGAAAUAAAAUUUAAUUGGUAAUGAAAUGAACUUGCAGGAGUGGACGAGGCUACAAGAACCACUCAGCAGACAGGUUCAACUAGUAGGACGCAAACACCAGGUAGGUGUUUAAUAUCUUGAAUAUUUUUUCUUUCUCUAAACUUUAGAUAUUUAAAUUUUCUCUUGAUCAACGAAAUCUUAUGUGGAAUGCUAGUAGAUUUUCCCAAGAUAAUUUAUUUUGAAAUGAAAAACUGGUACCCUGUGAAUGGGCAAUUGAUAACCAGUUAUCCUGGUAUCCUGGUAUGGAACUGGUGCCCUGUGAAUGGGCAGCUAGUGGACCAGUUAUCCUGGUAUGGAAUUGGUGCUGGUAGUUCAGCUGUGUUGGUAUGGAACUAGUGCUGGUAGUCCAGCUGUACUGGUUUGGAACUGAAGUUCUAUGAUGUGGACAUAUUUAAAUUUUGGAUUAUUGAUUUGAGAAUUGUACUUGGAAGAUGAUAGUAAAUGUGGGAAUUUUGUGAGUAAAUAAUGCAUAUAUUUAUAUGUUAUUACAAAUGUAAAUACUCUAAUUGAUCAUGAUUAUCUUUUAAAUCAUUAUGCAGGUUCAUCUCAAUACCGCGCCUGAUAGUAGUUUUUAGAGUUUACUUCUAUUACCAGUAAAUCUUUUGGAUAUGUAAAUUAUUGAUUAUAACAUUACUAUCUGUAUAUUUUGAAGAUUAUAAUGUUGGGUAUGUAUGAAUUUAAAUGGACUAGCUUAUUUAACUUGUACUCUGUUAUGUAAAUAUUUUCUAAUUAUGAUGGUGAUAUAUAUAUAUAUAUAUAUAUAUAUAUAUAAAAGCAUGUAGUUAAUAUCAUUUGUGAUAAACUGUACUUAAAAGAUUAUAUUAGAUCCAUAAUCUAUGGUUUAUGUUUCAUGGUUAAGAUAAUUCUUUCUUCAUUUUAGCAAAAUAAUUAUUCAUUGAGUUGAUAUGCUAAAGAAAGUGAAAUAUUGUUGAUUAAGAUAUGUUGGAGUAUAAUAAGAACAUUAAAUUGUGGAAAUUGUUGAUUAGGGACUAAUAUUGAUUUUGUCGAUAACUUGGACAAACUAAAUUAGGAGAAAUUCUGCCAAAAUUUUUGAAAAAAAAAAUCAUCAUGAAUUUUCUUAAUAUAUUGCUGGAAAAUUUAUUGGGGCUGUUACACUCAUGGUUUUCACAGCUAAGGUAGGAUUCUAUGGAGAAAACAACGAACAAAAGUGCCUGAAUAUGUUCAGACUUGCUGCUUGGGAUGGCGAUUAUGACAUUGAAUUGUGAAUGAUUGAGCCCAACAAGAUUGCCUCUUUCUGGGCUUGUAUGUCGAGGAUCUCGCCAAGCCCGGUGAUUAGCACAAUCGAUCCAUGGUAACAUUUAGUUGUCCAACCGGUAGAUCUUAUAAAACAUUUUAAGGAGCAUAUGGAUAGUUAGCCAUGGAUGAUAUAUAUUUAAGGAUGAUAACAUGUGUGGGUUUUAUGGGUCAGGGUUUUUUUUAUUCAUGUGGGGUGUUUGAGUCAGUUUACACGUACCUUGAUUAAUCCCUAUAUAUCUUGAAAUUAACGACCAGAUAAAUCUUCAGUGGUCAUCAAUAUUAACAAAUAGAUAAAAUUUUUGCUAUUUAAGAAAAUAUAUAAAGUGUCAAAGAUGAGAGUAAAUAUUUAUGAAUAAGUUUUGUACUCCAACUUAAAAUAAUAAUUCAAACCUAACCUAACUCAAUUGAAUAUAAAUUUUUUAUUCUAGAUUUUAUCCCAUUAAUUUCUAGUACUCAUAACAUUAAACUCAAAUUUGAGUAUUAUAAUUUUAGUUUAAUAUACAUAUAAUUUUUCAAACUUCAAGUUUUUUUUUUUAAUUUAUAAGACAAUAUCUAAUCUAAAACUUGAAUUUUUACCUUCAAGUUUUACAAAAUUCUCCUAACUAUCAACUAUCAAGGGUUGAUUAGAAUAUAUACCUACCUGUUUCGGGUAAAAUUAUUAUAUAUUUUUAACCAGGAUUAUCCCUAAAGUACAAGAUACAUCUGUCGUAAUGAUUGAAGAAAAAUAAUGUCCUUUCUCGUUUUGGCAAAUUUUGGAAGUUGGAAGCUUUCGUGACCGCUCGUAGCAAGCUCAAUCAGGAACCACGAGUCCGAUUAAAUGUCUGAAUCAAAGAACCACCAGGCAGAACCGUUUGUGUGGCAGUGGCUAGAUUUGGUAGCUGAUCAUAAACCAAUUGCUUUAGUUAGGGUUCAUCAAGACCACCCAAGAGGGAAUCACUACCUGCUUCGGUGGCAUGCACAAGCUUGCUUGGAGAGGGAGGGCCCAACCUCUCAUGGAAUGUGGAGUCCAAACACAAUAAGGCUAUAGUCAUGAUGUGUAGAUAGAGUUUAUCUAAGUAAUGUCAAAAAAUUAUUUCAAUCCAAUAAUUUAAAGUGUUAAAUGAGAUUUCAAUAUAUAAUUUAUAUUAUUAUUUAACACACCCUCUUAAGUAAAAGCCCUUCGAAUUUGAAACUUGCACAAACUCAUAUUACCUUAUACUUAAUGUUUUAUCAAAUAAACAUGGUUAAUGAGAUUCGAAUUUGUAAUCGCUUAGUCAUCAAAACUCUGAUACCAUGUCCAAAAACCAUCUCAAUCCGAUAGUUUAAAUUGUUGGGCGAAAUUUUAAUAUAUAAUUUAUAUUAUUAUCUAACAAAUAAAUUCUAAUUGUAAGUGUAUUUCAAAAUAGUGCGCGGUGAUAUCUAGGCAAUAUAUAUUUCUUUAUCAUAAGACCAGCAGGUAUAUUAAUUAACCAGGUAACCAUAUUCCAUAAUAAAUCUCAAAGAAUAGAAAAUAGUGGUGGGUGCUGCGAUGCCUGACUUUCUUGCGAAAGCAAGCAGUACGCAUGGGACCUCUUCUGCAUAUAUCUUUGCUAAUGCAAGCCCUUAAAGUUUAAUUAUUGAAAAAAGAAGUGUUUUGGUUUUGUAUUUUGUACGAAGACAUGCAAUUAUGCUUGCCACCACCCUAUAUAUGGUCCAAAAACUCAAUUAUUUCACUAAUGGGGAAGAUUAGUGCAAGAAGAUGUAGACAAUCAAGCAAAAUAAAUAUAUUUUUUUAACUAAAAUACAUACAUAAUUAAAAUUUAAAAGGGUAUGCUUUUAUGAGCAAGACAUAGGCCACCCCCUGCCCCUUCAUGAAUGGGAUCGAUGUUUAUAAGAAAUUAUACAAAAACAAGAAGAAAAUGGCCAAGUCUGAUUUUACAUAAUGGAAGGAGUUUUCAAUUUAUCUUAGUCCCUAAAUAAAUUAUUUUUCUUCAAUAUAUAUCCUUUUGUCUUUAUUUUCCAUCCAAACUAAUAGAAAAAUCACAUGAUUUACAGAUGAUAUAUUUUGAUGUAAAAAAUACGCUUUACUUUGAAUAGGGUGUCUUGUAUUUUAAAGGUUGUGUCCAAUAAAUCUUUAUAUAUUAUCGUAUCACUCAUGUCCUUAAAUUUUAGUCAAGUUAUUCUAGGGAUGGUGGUUGAUAUAAAAACUAAAAUUAGGUUGCAUUUGGAAACACAGUAUUUUUUUUUUUUUUUUGUAAAAAAUUAAUUUAUUUUUAUGUUUUGGAUCGUUUUAAUGCGAUGAUCUCAUAAAUAAUUUUUUAAAAUAAAAAAAAAUUAUUUUGAUAUAUUUUGACACAAAAAACACUUUAAAAAUUAACCGCAAUCACAGUCCCAAACUGUUUAGAAAUCUUGAGAAAGUAAUUCACAUGAAAAAAUCUAGUUAAUUUAAAUAACGUAUCAUAAUUUUAGUUAAUUUCUUUUAUGGAAAAAACUACAUGUGAUAUCUUAUAAACAUGAGAUAAACAAGUAUUAUUAAGAUUUGAGUUUAUUUUAAAUAUUAUUUUUUAUCAUGAAUUAAUUAAAAAAGAGCAAAUUAUGCAUUUAUCUUGCAUUUUUAGUUAUUAAAAUAAAAUCGAUUGGUAGGCCUUCAAUUUAUUUUCACUCUAAAAUCUCUAGUUUUUUCUUUUAACGUUUUUUUUUCCACAAUAAUAUUUUAGGAUUUAAAUAAUAAGAAGGUUGUAAGAAAAAAUUAAUAGUGAAAAUAUUAAUUUAAUUGAGAAACAAUUGUGAAAAAAAAAUGUUAAAAAAUCGAUUUGAAACUACCAUAUUGGUAAAGAAAAAUAACUUAUAAGUUCUUGGGAUUUUGCUGAUGUGUUUUUAUUCUUGAGCAUGUUUAAAUAUUAUUUUGAUAUAUUUCUAGGUAUAAAGCAUUUUGAAUCAUCACUAUUAUUAUAAUCUCAAAUAAAUCCUUCAUCACAAUAGAAUAAUAUGAAGAAAAAAGAAGAAGAAGAAGAAAGAAUCAGGAAGAAAGAGAGAGAAGAAAUAUCUUUCUUCUCAAAACAAAUCCCUGUAUUUUUAAAUUAACCAUCAACUUUUGUCUUCAAGUCCUCAAAAUUUUUCAUGAAUUUUUGUUCUAUGUCGGCAUCUGAUUUGAAUACUUGUAACCCUGGAAUAUAUAUAUUUUCCAAGCAGCCUUGAAAUAUCUUCAGGAGCCGGUCGGUAAUUGACAAAUAAAUUAGCCGAAAUCGUGUUAUGGAAUCACAAUUAUUAAAUUCCGUCUGUUCUGGUAAGUCAACAUGAUCUUCAACAUGAUUUUUUUAAAAAUUCAACUCAAAGUUUACUCGAUUUGAUUGAUAGAUUCAACGAAUUAACUUGAAAUCUUGUCAAAAUUUAUUUUCAUAUUUUAAUUAAUUAGAGUUUAAUAAUUUUAAAUAAUUGUAUCCAUGAAAUAUCUUGAGGCGCCGGUCAUUGAUCAACAAAUAAUUUAGCUGAAAUCAUAUUAUGAAACGGAUAGAAAAAAGAUAUUAAUCUUGUCUUUAAUUACAAUUAAAGUACGUAUUAUUAUUUAAUCAUAUCAAGGAGCGUAAGACUUUGUCCCUUUCAUUAUCGCUCUAAUAAAAAAAUAAUUCAAACUUGAAUCUUAUCUUUCCUUUCAAAAUUGCUUUUCUCCUUUGCACUCAUGAUUAAAUACCAGACAAUAAUGUUAUUGAUCAUCUCAAAGGGAAUUUCUUUAUCGAUGAGUUGAUGGAUUUAACUAAUAAAGUUUUUUAGAUGAAAUUUAAUAUUAGAGGUUUUGAGAAAAUAAAUAUUUUUUUUGGAUAUUUCUGUUUUUUUAUUUAGUUUGGAAUUUUAUUUUUUUCCCUUUUAGUAUAUAUUGUUAUGUUUUUAUAAUUUUCUUCAUUUAAAGGAAAUUUUUUUUUUUGGUUUUCAUUAUUCCUUAUUAUUGAGUUUUUCAAUGUAAAAGGAUUUUUUUAUUCAAUAUCAUUAAGAUUUUUUUAAUUUUUAUAUAAAAAAAUGAUAAUAAUCUUUCUACAAGUAAACUUGAAUGAAUAUAAAUUUUUUUAUAUAUAAUAAACCUUGCUAUUCUUGGGUGUCAUAAGAACAUUGUGAUAAACAUGUUCGUGAUAAAAGAUGAUUUUAUAUAUGUGUUGGAUAAUGUGGUAAUUCAUAUCUUUUAAAUGUUUUUUAAUUGAAAAUAUAUUAAUAUAAUUUUUUAAUUUUAACAUCAAUACAUAAAAAUUAUAUAAAAAAAUUAAUUUGAAAAACAAAAACUACUAGGAUGUCAAAAGAGUACUAAUGAGGUUAUGCCCAAGAGUUUGUUUUUCUAAGAAAACAAAUAUAUUUAUUAGUUAUUUUUUUUCUUUUUUUUCAAUUUAUGAAUUUUCUUUUUUUCUACUUAGUACUAUUAGGUUUUUCUAGUUUUUAUAUUUAAAAAAAGAUUUCUAUUUCUAUUUUUCUUUUCGAUAUUAUUAAAGGUUUUUCUAUAUAAAAUGUUUUAAUAGUUUUUUUGGCAAGUAGACUUAAAUAAAUAAAAAUUUAAUAUUUUAGAUGUCUCCCCAUAAAAAUUAAGUAUUUUUAUUUAUAUCAAUACAUCAAAAUUAUCUGAAAAUAUUUACAAAAUUAAUUUAAUAUUUUUUUGAGUUAAAAAUCAAUUUAUAAAAUAUUUUUAAAAAAACAUGUAAUAGCACAGAAAUAGACACUCAACGUCUAAAAAUACAUGCCGACAAGAGUUGAACAUUGUAAAAAGAAUAUCUCUAAGUAACCAUAAAUCACUAAUCAAAGACUCCAAUAUUCAAUUGUGAAGCAUCCAACCCAGCAAACGUGACUUCUCCUAUAAGUAAAAAUAAAAACUUGUUUAUAUUUCAAUUCUUGCAGCCCCCGAGGAAAAAAAAAUAAAAAAAAUCCUUGGUGCUCCUCUGUUGGCCUCAAAACAAUCAAACAAAUUUCCCUCCUCCUGCUCCAUUUUAUACGACCAUCUCCUUCUUUUGACAGCCCUUUUAAUGGGAUCCAUCAAAAUUAGCAUCUCUUCCAUCCUUUCUUGGAUUCCCUUACAUCAUGUUGUAUAGCCAGAUCACCAAAGUCUCAAAUUGAACCAAGAAAGAAAAUCUCGAUGACAAGUUGCUGAGCUUUAUUCAGCCAUGGAGGAGAGGCGCGUUCUUUUUGGGAAGUAUGAGAUGGGGAGGCUACUGGGGAAGGGGACUUUUGCUAAAGUUUACUACGGGAAACACCUGGUAACCGGAGACAGUGUGGCUAUCAAAGUUAUAAACAUAGAUCAAGUCAAGAAAGAAGGCAUGAUGGAACAAAUCCAGACAGAGAUCUCAGUGAUGCAUCUUGUUCGUCAUCCCAACAUUGUUGAGCUCAAGGAAGUCAUGGCUACAAAGACCAAGAUCUUCUUCAUCAUGGAGUAUGUUCGAGGUGGAGAGUUGUUUGCCAGAGUAGCCAAAGGAAGGCUCAAAGAAGAAGUUGCUCGAAAAUAUUUCCAGCAACUAAUUAGCGCGAUUGAUUAUUGUCACAGCAGAGGUGUUUACCAUCGAGACUUGAAGCCAGAGAACAUGUUGCUUGAUGAAGACGAAAACUUGAAAAUCUCUGAUUUUGGAUUGUCAGCCUUACCUGAACAAUUGCUGCAAGAUGGACUUUUGCAUACUAUGUGCGGGACUCCUGCUUAUGUUGCACCGGAAGUUUUGAGAAAGAAAGGCUAUGAUGGAUCAAAAGCAGAUACAUGGUCGUGUGGAGUGAUUCUCUACGUGCUUCUUGCAGGAUUCUUGCCAUUUCAAGAAGAAAAUGUUAUGAAGAUGUACAGGAAGAUCUUCAAGGCUGAAUAUGAGUUCCAGCCAUGGUUUUCAACAGAUGCUAAGAGGUUGAUUUCAAGACUUCUUGUUGCUGAUCCUGAAAGGAGAAUCACUAUUCCUGCCUUAAUGAGAAAUCACUGGUUUCUGAAAGGGUUUUUAAGACCGACGGCCUUUUCAAUUCAAGAAUCAAUCAUGGAUAAAACAGAACAGGAUCAAGAUCUUGAUUCUUGUUAUGGUGUCAAGCCUAAAGUAACAUCACCAAGAUUCUUCAAUGCAUUCGAGUUCAUCUCUUCAAUGUCUUCUGGGUUUGAUCUGUCCAGUCUUUUUGAGACUAGGAAGAAACCAGGGUCGAUGUUCACUUCAAAAGUGUCAGCAAGUGCUAUCAUGGAAAAGAUUGAAGGGGUUGCAAAAGGGCUGAAUUUUAAGGUAGCAAGAGUUAAAGAUUUCAAAGUGAGGUUACGAAGUCCAUGUGAAGGAAGAAAGGGGAAGCUGGCAGUGACAGCAGAGGUGUUCGAGGUGGCACCGGAGGUUGCGGUGGUGGAGUUCUCCAAGUCUUCCGGAGAUACCUUGGAGUAUGCCAAGUUCUGCAAGGAAGAUGCUAGGCCUGCACUAAAAGACAUUGUUUGGACAUGGCAAGGAGACCAUGUUUGUACUAAUGAUAACAACAAUAGUCAAGUAGAAGAUUGUGAAAUUCAAGUGUUGUAGGAAGGCUUUGAUCUUAACUGGGGAAGUUUUACGAUUUUCUGUCAUCUGUAAAUAAGUUUUUGGUAAGUAAAUUAAUGCAGAGGAUGGGUGUCUUUGUUAAGCACAAAAUAACCAGAAAUUUUUACACUCUCUUAUGAUCAUCUUAUUUUGUUUCAAUAUUGGAUCAUCUUAAUAUCAGUGAAACUUGUAUGCUUGAUGGAGGAAAAGAAUUUUGGAUGCCACCAUUAUAAUUUGAUUGUCUUAAAAUAAGAGAUAUUAUUCAGUCUAAAAUAUAAUCUUAAUAUACAAAAAACUUGUCCAAAUUAUCCAAAUUAAAAAAUUCAGAAAUUGCGGUUAUUUUUUUAUUUUAAAAUAUAUAAAUAUAAUAUAAAAACAUUAAAAAGAUAUUAAUUUAAAAUAAUAAAAAAUUUAAAUUUUUUUAAAAAUAUUUUUAAAAUCUAAAAACAAAUAAACUAUUAAAUUAGUUUAGAAAACAUAUCCACUGGCCGGUAGUUGUACAAAUGGUUGGAGGAAAUGAAAGUGGUUAUGCUUUCAUUGUCGUGUUGGUUUCCCUCCCAACUAUUUAUGUUAAUGUUCUUUAUUUGAGACACGCGUUCAACUAUCAUGGGUUCAACUAUCAUUUCUCUAGUAGGAGAGACAAAACUAGAAACUAUAAGAGAAGUUUUGGAUUUUGCUCGAUGUAACAUAUGAAUGAUGACGACGUACUAAAAUCAGUAUAUUCAAGUAGGUUGUUUGAUAUUUGAACUUAGGUUAAUCAAAUAUUUAUAUUAUUAAUUUUUUUUAGUUCAAGGAGCACCAAAUUAAUGGUAAAAUUUUAGUACCUAUAAAAGCAGUUUUUAUCUAUGAAAAUUUUUAUAGUGAGAUUUAAAGACUCUUCGAUAAUAAAAUUAAUAAUUUCAAAUAGAAAAGAUAAUAAAAAUAUUUGUUCUUGUGUUUUGGUGUGAUUAAUGCUUUAAAACAUACAAGCUUUUUAAAGUAAGAAAAGUUAUGAAGUCUUUACUUGGAUAGUUCAAAGGGUAUUUAUAACCUCUGAAACUUGAUGUUUUUGGAAAAAAAAAAAACCCAGGAAAUCCUUAGUUUCUAAUGACAUUAAUAAAUGAUAAAUAUUUUUUAUACAUCAUCAAUGAGAGAAAAAUAUACCUUACAUAUUAUUAAUGAGAUGAAAAAUAUAAUAGACUCGUUGAGAAACCUUUUAUACAUUUAUAUAUGUAGGGAUAUGAUUACCUCCUACAUGAACAACUCAUAUAGAUAAAACUAUAUGGUUCUAACAUGAAUUUCUAAGUUUAACUGGGUUUGGUAUCUUACCAGAUUCACGGUUAUUUGAACAACUCAUGGAUGAAUUCAAAUGUAUUGAGUCUGAUAUCUUGUAAAACUCAUGGUAACGUAGGCUCAAUUUAUGACUGUACUCAAAUAUAUUGAAUUUGACAUUUCGCUAGAUUCAUGGCGACUUGGACUUAGUUUAUAGCUGAACCUAAAUAUAUUGGAUCUAACAGCCUAAUAGAUCCAUGUUGGAUUGGGCUAAUAUAUAUAUGUUUGGGUUGUUUCGAAAUAUAAAAAUAUGAACUCAUCAAUAGGAGAGAAAAGCAAGGUUGGACCAUUUAUAGGGAUGAAAGUCCUAUUAAACAUUUGGAACCACUCCCAUCUACCUUUUGUUCUAGCUAACUAAGUUGUUCAUGGCUUCUUCUUUGCUUAAAAUUAAAAGUAUUGAUUCUUGAAAAACCAUAGUCUAAUUAUGAACUUCUUCUUCUUCUUGAUUUUUAGGGUUAGGAUUUUUUCAACUUUCCGUGCUAACAUUUUUUUUUUAAUGUUUUAAUAAAAAACAGACCACCCAUUUUGGGUUAUUUUAGAGAUAAAAUUAUGUGAUAUUCCAUCGUAGAUUGAUUAGUUAAGUAUGGAAACUUUUUAUGCAUGGAUAAGAUCAUGAUGCUGAACAUAUAUAUAUUUGGGAAUUUUAUAAGUGUUUUCACAUAUAUUAUUUCGAAUACUUUUUUUGAAAAUUUGGAAAAAUGCGUUGACAUCAAGACUAAAGAUAAGUGUAAAUACCAGGGAGAAGCAUCGAGCCCUAAACCUCCUGGUGAAAAUGAUACGUAGAUUAUGAUCUAUGCAUCCCAAAUAAUUAAAAUCAUGUUGAUAAGACACAAAUUAUAUAUAAUUAAUUUACAACCUUCUGAAUUUAUAUUUUUUUAAAUAAAAUCUUUGUCAUGGCAUGUCGGGUAACAAAGCAUCAAGCACCCUCGAUACUGUUAUAGAUCUUGCGAUUGAUGAGUGAUAAAUCUCUUUUCCUUUCAUUAAUGAUACUUUUUAACUUUUCAAGCAAACUCCGUAAGCUGAAAGUGGACAAUGACAUUUUUUAUUUAACUAGAUAUGUGUCGUUCGGUAUAUAUGCUUUUUAGAGAUUAGGAAAAGAAAAACAUUUACUCAUAGAAUAAACACUUUUAUUUUUUUUUAAUUUAUGUGGGGUAUUCGAAUUAAUUUACGUGCACCUCGACUAAUCCUCAUGGACCCUAAAAUUAAUGAUCAAAUAAGUCUCCAAUGGCUAUUAAUAUUAGCAACCUUAGAACUCGAAUUUAAGAUUACAAGGAGAACAAACAUUUUGGUCCCAAACUCUUACAACUAGAUUACCUGGUAAAAAAAACUAUAUUUUAAAGUUGUAUUGUAUUAUGUAAUAAUGAUCCUAUGAUAAAAGUUAUUUUUAAUUCAAAAUUAAUUUAAAUUAGUUUGUAAUGAAUCCAUCUUUUAUUUAUAUAAAUAAAGACAUUAUUGAAAUCAAUAUUGUAAUGUAUGUGUAAUAUUUUAAAUAUCCAUGCACUAAACAUGAUUUAUAUAUCAGGAUAAAAAUCUUUCUUUAUAUCGAUUGUUGAAAUGCAAUUUGUAUAUAACAGUUUUUUUCUUUCAAAAGCAAGAUUCAUAAAAUAGAAAUUGGUUAUUUGAUUAUCGUCCAAGGAUAAGAAAAAAACUAAAAAAUAUUUAUAUGAAGAGAUAAAGAUUAAAAUUAAAACAAAUAUGUUUUAAAAAUAAUUUAAAAAUAAUUUUAUAUAUUUUUAAAACAUGAAAACAUAUUAUCUCUAUCUCUAUUGCCCCCAUAUUAUCUCAAAAUAAUAAUUAAACACUAUCUUCAAACUCGAUAGUAUUUGAUGGAUUACCAAUCCUAUUUGUAUUUAUAAUUAUUUGGUGAGAAUUAAUAUAUAUAUAUAUAUAUAUAUAUAUAUAUAUAUAUAUAUAUGUGUGUGUGUGUGUGUGUGUGUGUGUGUGUGAUAAUAAUAGUAUUGAUCUUUAUUUUUUGAAAAAGCUUUAAAUAAUUUUUUUAAAAUUAUUUUUAUUAUUUUGAUAUGCUAAAGUCAAAAAUAAAAUAUUUUUUAAAAAUUAUUUUAAUAUAUUUUCAAAAAAAAAAAACCUCUAAUAAACUUACACACAUUCAUACAGGAAAGAAAAGAUAAAAAAAGAAAAGUCAUGAAUUACCAUCAAUGUCUAGAAAUAAAACAAAAUCAAAUUGUGCUAGAUUUGCCCACUUGAAUUUGGGCGUACCACUAAGAUAAAAUAGGCCCAAUUUCUCAAGAAGAGACAGAGUAAGCCUACUGCAAAAAAUGCAAAAAAGACAUAAUGGGCCUCGAUAACUUUAGAAGAAAGCCUAUGGGCAUGCAUCAAGUCAGUUCUAUUGCUUCAAUUUUUUAGCUCUCAUCAGCCCAAGCCAAGAUUCUUGAAUUGCAAGAAAAAAAUUGGAUCAUAAUUCAAGAUUAUAUGUGGCUGAGAAGAACCUAGAAAGCUAUAAGUUGCAUCUGGACUCGAUUUUUAAAAGUAUUUUUCAUCUAAAAAAAUAAUAAUUUGAUUUUUUUAUGUGUUUACUGAUAUUUUUAAUAUAUUCAUGUUAAAAAUAAAAAAUAAUCUGAAAAAAAUAUAUUUUUAAUACACUUGAAAACAUUUUUGCAAGAUAACUGUGCGUUGUAUUGCCAAAUAUAUUAAAUAUGAGAAACAAUUAAUGGAGCCCAAAAUGGAAGUCCAAGUCCAAAUAUAUUGAAUUCUUUUAUUCUUUACCCCUUAAAAACAAUGAUAUGGAAAACAUCAGAAUAUGUACUCAUGCCCUCUAUUCCGAUAAAAACAAUUAAGAAUAAGUUGAUGUUUAGAACUGUUGAAAAUUAUUAUUAUUGUUGAUUUCUAUUAUUAUUAAGGCUGAUGCGGGGUUUUAGUAGGUAAGAUUUACUGGUUGGAUAAUUCAAUCAAAAUGAUAUUAUUUUAAUUUAUUUUUAAAAUUAAAUAUUAAAAUAAAGUUAUUUUGAUUUUUUUUAAAUCGCAUCUCAAUUGUGCCUGAAUCAUAAGUUCAUCAUCCUAUCAAUUGAGUUUAAUUUAAUAAACUUUUACCUUCUUCAACUUUUAAACCCAACUUAAUUUGAGAGAAAAAAAUUAUUUUAUUCUUAGAAUAAUUACAAAAUUUCAAGUUUAUUUCAAGAGCAAUUGUUAUAUGUAUGGAUAUAUAAUUUGGCACAAAAACUCAAUACUUGACUUCAAAUAAAACCAAUCAGAUUUGAAAACACUGGUUGAAUUCUAAAUCAAACUAAAAAUAAUGAUUUGUCUUGAAAAUAAAUAAUAAAUUAAACACCAUUGACAUGAAGAAGACAAUAAUCAUUCAAAACGAAACCAAACGAACACACGUCACAAAAGAGACAAAUCAUGACGUAUGCUUGCUGAUGUAAUGGAUUUCAACAUCAUGAAAACAACCUGUAAUUUGCAAGCAAGUGGUAGGGACGACAUGGCUUCUAGCUCUUGCCGUUGUUGACUUAAAAACAUAAAGCCAAGUCUUCCACGUAAACGUAUGUGCUCAUUCUUUUCACAACGACAUUGUGGAAAACCUUUUCCAUUGUCCUUGCAUGUUCUAGCCAUUCGUUUGCUGGCUAAAAAACGUUUCGAAACACGAGCACCAAGUUCUUCAGUGGAGGAAAAAUGAGCAGAUGUCAUCAUAUUCGAAAAGUAAACAUGGAGCAUUUCACAUUCCAGGAAAAUUUGAGAGGUCUGGAUCAUUGCUCCCAUGCAUGACGAUGGGGUGAGGAGAAGUGAGUGAUGCAAUAUGCAGACAUCAUCAGGAAAAUAAUGCAGAGGACCUGUGAUUAGACGCCAUUGAAGAGAACUUGACCUGCAAAUUCUACGCAACAAGGUGUGAUUAAUGUAUGAUUUGUGGAAGAAAACACGUACUCUUUGAUUGAAAAGUUGAGUUGGAAUUCCACAAGAGGAGAAAUUUACAAGGUGUAAUGGUUAGAUACACACGAACUGCUAUUUAAUUGAAAAGUUGAGUUAGAAUUCCACAGGCAGGAGAAAUAUUUAGAGAGUAAUUAUAGUUAGACAUCAUCGCCAGAAAAUUAUGGUAUAAAUUUAUAUUAGGAUUUGAUUAAAAUAUCAAAAAUCUUAUAAUAACUAGUUUGUUACCAACACUAUUAGAAAUAGAAAAUAAAUGCGAUGAUAAAUCUAGAACUUAUAAUUAUUAGAAUUUAACUCAAUAAAGUAUAAAUUUCCUCACGAAAAAAGAUCUGUAUUGAACCUUAGAUAAAAUUACCACAUAGAAACAUAACCUGAAAAAACAAUUGAUAAGCAAUGCAGAAAUAUAGUACAUUAAAAAUGAUGCAUCUUCUCCUUACACAACUAAUUUUUUUAUCUAGAUUCUUACUGAUCAUUAAAUUUUCUAGUAAUUAUAAUAUUAAAUAGUAAGUACAGAACUUUAUAAUCAUAAUUUAUGAUUAAAUCUAGAAUAUGCCAUCAUGCUUUUUCGAAGUUAUUUAACGAAAAACAUGACAAAUUCUCUUUUUGUGUUUCAUGUGUAUAGCCUAACAACGCAUUUAGUGUGGCCACCCAUGAACUUUCAGUCAAUUUCAACUCCUGGUUCUAAAUACAAAAAAGAAUCUAAAUCUUUUACUUUUCUCUUUCUGUACAAUAUUUUAUUAAUAAGUUUACAUGGUGUGGAUAAGGAUUAGGUCAAGAUAUUCUGUCUGCCAAGGUUUGCAUUUUUUCUACGGCACAAAUCUUUGCCCUAAUAAUUUGUAUACAAAAAGAUAUCAAUAUACUGUGAUCACUGUCCUUUGUGUUUCUUGCAAGGCGUACUGUACUGUACUAUAUAUAGAGAUCUUCCUUUGUAAAUAGUUAAUAUAAAAACACUAUUACAAGUGUCUCACGUGGUAAAUUAUAUUUUUAGAUUAAAAUAAUUUUUUAAUUUACAUUAAAACCUCAUCGAUCAAGUGUUUGACAAUUUAAUUCUACCACUCUAAUUUUUUUAAUUAAAUUAAAAGUUCAAAACAAUAUAGUGGUAAAUGCAACAAAUUUUCUAGUUAAAUUACUUUCUUACAAGAUUAUGCGUAAAAAGUUAAUAUUGAUAUAACGGUUUAAAUUAUUUUAUUAAAAUGAUUUUUUAAUAUUCACAAUUUAUUAAAAAAAUGAUUAUUUAUUUUUAUUUUGAAAAUACACACAUACAAAAUGAAUAAUAAGUUUAUUGAUGUUAACUUUGGAAUGCUUGAAAACGAUUUUUUCUUAAGGUAAUUUCUAUAGAAACACUUAUGAUUAGGAGGCUUAAAGAAGAAGAUGAAGAAUUAGUCAUAGGACACCAACUUUAAUUCAUAAAUCUAAGUUAAUAUCACUUAACUUGGGUUGGUGUUUUUUUUUUUUAGCGUUUUUAUUUUUUUUUAUUUUUUUUCUAUCAAGUUUUUUUUAUUUUUUUUGUUGUUAUUAUUUUUUUGAACUAGAAUUUUUGUAUGAACCCGAGUAUGAGAUUUCACAAAUUAAAAUUUUAAAAAAUUGAACCUUAGAAGAUUUUAAAAGUUUUUUAUUUUUGUAUUAUUAAAUUAACUAAAUUUAUUAUCAAUGAUUCAAUUCUUGAACUUUUUAUAUUUAUUUAGAAAUCCUAACAUCCACUGAUUUAUUUUCUUCUUACAUUCAAAUAAAAAUUGGCUUUGCCACAUCAUUCCACUGGCCACCAAUAUAGAUUUACUCGAGUGAUUUUUUUUGUUCCACUUUUAAAUUUAAUUUUUUUUCCUUUUUCAAUCUUCAAUAUUUGGUUUCAUUAUAAUUAGUUUCAUGAUUUUAUUCCGAUCUCAUACUCCAAGUAACGAACUUUACAAGUUAACCAUUAUUUAUCAUUAUGAAUCCAAUAUAUUAUUUAUCUUAAUAUAUAUUUUUUAAAAAAUAUAUUAGCCAAAAUAUCACUAUUUUAAAGAUUAUUUAGCCGGUAUGCAUUAAAUUAUUAACUUCCUAACAUCUUAACAAUUUUUAAAGCUGAAAAAAACACUACCACAAAAUCAAUAAAUACAAACAAAAUACCGAGAUAAUAUUUCUGUCAAUAAAUUUUUGAACGAUUUUACCGACCAAAAUAUUUUCUUGGUAUAUACCAAGAGAAUUACAGUGGAAAAAAAAAAUAAAAAUGAUGACAUGUUAAUUUUAACCAACGAAAUUACCGACAGAAUUUAUUCCGUCGGUAAAUUCAUUGGUAAGCUGUGAACACUUUUCAGUAUGUCAAUUACAAAGGGAAUCACCGACGAAUUUUUCGUCGGUAUAUUCUAGAGAACUCCAGAACUGUUCACUUUCUAAUUGCACUGUUAAUUGUUGUUCUUUACGGACAAAAUCACCACGGAUUGAAAAGUCAUCGAUGUUAUUUGGCGAUUUUUUGAAAAAAUUCAAGUAAUUUAAAAUUUUCACUUAAAUAUUACAAACAAAAAUUACCGACAAAUUGAAAAAUCGUCGGUAAUUGUUGACAAUUUCUGAAAACUUUUUACAAAAUUAAAAAUUUAAUUAAAUAUUACCGAUGAAAUUACUGACGGAAUAAUUAAAAAAUAUUAAUAUUUAAUUAUUCAUCAGUAAAUCCGUCGCUAAUAUGCCCCAAUAAAAAGCCUGAAUCCCUUUAUUCUACAAGAGACAUACUCAUUUCUUCUUCUACUUCUUCUUCUUCUACUACUUCUUCUUCUUUACUAUAAGUAAAAAACAUCAAUAUCUAUUUCUUUCUAUUCUUUUCUCUCCUCAUCUUCUUCUUUUUUUCUCCAUGUUCGGGUAUGUCUUCUUCUUCUUUCUUCUUUUGUCCUCUUAGAUUUUUUUAAUUAAUAUACUUUACAAAUUAUUUUUUUUCUGUCUUUAGCAUUAGCUUCACUUGCAACUACAUUAAGGUAAGAUUUUUUUUUUCAUGAUUUUUUUCACUAUAUUUGUUUUUUAUUUUAUUUUUAAUUGUUUUUGUUAAUAAUUAUAUAAAUGUUGCUGUGACUUUUUUUUCAUAUAAAAUCAAUUUUUAGUUGAUUUAUUUAUAGAAUUUUUAAAUUUUUAGCAAUUGCAACUUUAUUUUUUUCAUAUGAAUUUUUUUAAUUGAAUUUUUGCAAAUUUAUUUGAGUUGAUUUUUUUUCCAAGCAUUUUAAAUAUAUAUUAUAGAGUGUUGAUUGGUGUUAAUUUAAUUAUUUUAUAAUUGUAUCAAAUGAACUUUUUUAAAAUGUUUUUAAAUAAUUAAUGAAGCGUUUGUUCCGUCAGUAAAUCCGUUGGUAAUAAUAUUUUUUUUAUUAUCAACAAAUUUACCUACGGAUAAAAAAUUAUCGAUGAAAGAUUCACCGACAAAGCAUUUAUAUCAGUAAUUUUGUUGGUAAAUUAAUUACCGACGGAAUAUAUAUCUUACGCCAAUAAAACUAUUAAAUCUUGUAAUGAAAACCCUACCAAAUAUUUAAUGCAUGGACUUCUUCUUUAACUCAUCGGAAAUCCAUAUAGUAGGCUUUUGCUAUAGAAUAGAGAUGAGAUCCUUUCUGAUUACGUUACAACCAGUUCGACAGAACAUUCAUGAGUACAUCAACUUAAAUAAUAUCUCGGAUCUGUAAUAAAAGCAACACAAACUGGGUUUAUAUGCUUGAGCAAGAUCGAUCAAAACUGAUUAAUAAACAUAUAUGCAUAUAUACAAUAUUUGUAGCCAAGAGAGAUAGGUGGAUUAAUAUACAGUUCCUCUUCAGAUUUCCUCCCCUUCUAGAUGCAAGUCAAGUUUGAUAAUAUCCAACUUCGCAGAAAUAACGUUGGAAUCAUGACUUCGUCGAUUAUGAUAAUUAAUCCAACCAAAAAAAUCUGAAGCUAAAUAGAAAAUAUAAUUAAAAUAAAAAAAUUAACUUAUAAAAUAAUUAAAACUGUUGGUUACAACCAAUUAAUUUUUUAUAUAUAUAAAACUAUACAAUAAAAUUUGAAGGUGAAUCAACAGUUAAAUCAAAAGACAUAUGAAUCUUUACUUGUCAAGCUGCACAGUUAAUGCAUUCAAACUUCUUUGCGAACUUUGCUUGAUCCAUCUUAUCUGUAAACGUAUGUAACGUGUUACACAUUAAUGUCUUGGUUUUCUUAUUUUUAAGUUGUUAAAGGCUGUUCUGUGAAGAGUCCAUGGUUGGUAUUUUAUUUCGGAUAAGAAGAUGCAAGAUGGAAAGAUUUUGUUUUACUUUUAAUCUGGAUGUCGCUGGAUGUCGGUAGAAGUCUGUUUGGCUUCUCUUCUUGGCGUGGCUCCAAAUCUGCAUCUUUUAGCUACUUCCUUGAUUUCUUGGCUUCAAAUAUAUAUAUUGUAGCUGCUUUUUGUUAUUCUCGUUUCUUGGUAUGUUGUUCAUUUCAUUGCUGCAUAGUUUUGUUUAGGUGUCCUGUAAACAGAAUUUCUAUGUUCCCGUCAUCUAUUGGCGCCUUCUAAUGCAAUAUUAUACUUUUCAAAAAAAAAGAAAAAAGUAACGUGUUACACAUUAAUGGUAGACAAAACGUACAAAAAGUUUUUUUUUCUUUUUUCCAAAGCUUCUAGACGGAAAGAGCAAGCUUUGAUCAUGAGAGAGUAAUGAUAAAGUUCUUCGCUUAUUUUAACUCCUUUGAAUUCUAAUCCUCUAGAGACUUGAUCUUAAUUUUCCGUAGCUAUUUCUAUCUGUUUUAAUUAGUAAAACCUAAUUAUCGAUUAAUGUAUGACACGCUUUCAUUUCCAAUUCAUUUGAAUUAGAUUACUAGUUUUUGCUCAACAUAAAUAUUAAGGAUGAAUAUUCAUGAAUCCAAUUUUUUUAUAUAUUUAUAUUUUAUUUAUUAUUUAUUGUAUAUAAAUUUUAAAUAUUUAUAUUCAAUUUAAAUAUCCAAUUUAAAUAUUUAUUGUAUAUCCAAUUUAUUAUUUAUAUUUUAUUUAUUAUUUAUUGUAUAUAAAUUUUAAAUAUUUAUAUUCAAUUUAAGGUUUCUAUAUCUAUAUGGAUAUUCAUUAUUUUAUUAUUAUUAUUAAAAAAAUAGUAUUAUUUAUAUUGGAAGUAUGUAAAUAUUUAUUAAAUUAUAUAUAUAUUUAUGUAUAUAUAUGUAUGUGUGUUAUAUUGAAAUAUGUAUAUAAUAUAAUGGUUAAUAUUAAAAUUAUAUCCGACAACACGACUCUCUCUCCCUUCUUUUUAGGGAAAGAAAACAUCCUGUCCUUUAAUAUUUUUUUAUAAAUUUAACUUUCAUUAUUAUAAAUCUAGCCACUCAAUACUCAAUUUGUCAAUACACCAAAUCUAAUUCAAUUUCUUAAUCUUUUAAAGGUAUAUACUUAAAUUUUUGUUAUAACCCUUUUUAUGUUAAAAUUUUAGCAUUUUAUGUAUGUAAUAUAUAUAGUUUGUUUAUAUUGUUUACUUGUUAUAUAGCUUUUUUCUACAAAAAUUUGUUAUAUAAAUAUAAGAUUUGUUCAUGUAAAGGUUUUUUGAAAUUCAAAGAAAUUAUAUUUGUUUAAUAUUUGAUGAAAUUAAAUUAAAUUUUAUAACUUAGUUUUUAUUUAAUGAAUACAUUUUAUAUUUUAAUGUUAAAUUGAAAUUUUCAUUAAAUUUUAAAAAAAAUACAUAAAUUUUUUUUUGGAGAUAAUUAAUAAUGAUUAAAUAAUACUAUUAAAAUAAAUUGAAUAAAUUUGAAUUGAUCCAAUGAUAGCUAAUCAAUUAGGUAUUGAUAAUUUGUUUAAUACAUGUUGUCAUCAAUAUUUUAUAUAAACUUCAUUCUUAGAUGGAUCGAGUUUCACCCAAAAAGUUAUAUAUAAUGGAUUAUUAUAAUGAGAUUAAGGGUUUUAUUAAUUAUACACUAUCUAACCUAAAAAAUAUUAGUGAAUACGGUAUUAAGUGUCCAUAUAAAAAAUGUAAAAAUAAAAAGUUCUUCGAUCCAAAUGUUACGAUGCAUCAUCUACAAAAACAAAUUCAUGAAAAAUUCUUGCAUCGAUUCGCACACAAAGAACCCUAUUCGCUAUACAAAACCAUGAUAGAAAGUGUGAUUGACUCAACUUCUAAUUCUAGCAUCAUGCAUAGAGUUGUAAAUGACAAUGGUAAUUCGCAUAAAUAUGAUGAUGGAUACAAUAAAAAUUAAUUAUGGUUCUUCGAGUAAAUGCUCAAAUAUAGAUAAAGAAUUAAAUACAAACACAAUUAGGGUUUUUGAAUUGUUUAAAGAUUCUUGUUACAUGUGGAUAUUGAGACCUGCUAACAUGUAAAAUGCUACCAUGUAAAAGGGAUAAAUACAUGAAAAAUAAGUUAUUACUUAGUUUUAUAGUAACUAAAAGCCCUCGCUAAUCUUAAAAGAUUUUAGGUAAAGGGUAAAUUAUGUAACAAGAUAGAUAACCAUCACCUUAUAUAUCUUAUCUAAAAUAAAUUAUAUUAUUGUUUGUUUUUAAUGAUAAAUAUAUUCUUAUUAUUAUUUAUCUAAAUUGAUAUGUAUAUUAUCCAAGUUAUUAUCUUUGUUCACAAAACAAAGUACACAGUAUAGGGUUUGAUAUCAAACCUUACCAUCGUGAGUUAUUUUGGUAAUGAUGGGCAUAUAUUUUUACAAGACUUGUUAUAGGUUGAAUUUAUUUGUAAAAAUCAAAAUGGUUAUGGCUAGGAAAACCAAAAAUUUAAUUGAUUAAUAUUCCACAAAUUAUGUGUUAAUUGAUACUAUUAUUAACUUAUGGACAUCCAAAGAUCAUAUCCAAUAUUAGAUCAUACCAUCCUAGGUCAAUUGAUAAUUAAUAGAAACAAUUAAUUCUACGAUCAAGAAAUUCAAAGGACAAUUUUAUUACUAUUUUUGUUAUUAUUUAUUUAUUUAUUAUUAUUAUUAUUAUUAUUAAUUUCUUAUUUGUUUUUUGUAAUUAAUCUUUUAAUCAACAUUCAGAUUAAGGGUUUAAGGUUAGACUAUAUCAUCUCAUCUUGAGAUGAUUAAUAAAUUAUUUUUUUAUUAAUUAUUUUUUAUUUUUUUAUGAAAAAAUCAAUUUCUUAGUUUAAUUAAGCCUACUAGCAAGUUUUUCGUUAUUUAAUUCCAUUCAAUUAAACUCAAUGUUCAUAUCUUUAAUUAAAAAAAAAUAGCAACAAAUAAAAUGCCAUCCUACAACAUUAAUGAUUUUCUAAUUUUAUUGACAACACUUCAAAUUUUUAUUUACUAUAUUAUUUUCGUAAAUCAUGCUCUUAUGACUAAAGGCUUAUCUAAAAUCAAUAAUUUUUAUUUUAUGGAUUAUUUAUUUUUAUUUGUAUGUCUUUUAUGUCAUUUAUUAUUUUCUAAAAAAAUUUACCAAAAACACCUAACGUGUCCAUUACUCUAAGAACAUAUUCAAUUAAACUUUUUUCACAUAAUUUUCCUAAUAAUGUUUCUCAAUAAAAACAAAUGAUAGAAAAAAUCAAAUCAUGCUAAAUAAAACUAAAGAUUCAAUUAUAAUCAAAACAAAGGCUAUGAUUUUAACCUAAUAUCAAUCAUCAAUCAAAAUUCACAACAAUGUUCUCCUAAUCACAAACCACAUUAGCAUUGCUAUGACUAUCACAAACAUAUCUUCAUUCACACAAUUAAUCCUAAAUCAUAAUAAUAUCAUAGCAUGCUUUAAUUGCAGAUUGAAGGGAAGCUAGGCUGUUGUAAGAAAAAAUGUUGGUACUGUUCACGUGCUGCUGCUGCUGCUGCACGGCUGAGGCAAGAGAAACUGGCGUCACGGUGGAAUUCCAGAAGCUUUGCUGCUGCUGUGAUGGAAGAACAGCCUCCAGUUGCUGCUUCUAUGAGAAGAAAGAGCUCUACUGCUGCUGCUAAGACAAGAAAGGAAGGCUUCUGGUGCUCUGCCAACUGCUGCUGAGGCUGAUGCAACAGAUCUCCUGCUGCUGCUCUCGGUGCAGAGGAGAAGGAUGGGAGGAAACUGGUCUUGGAGCUUUUGCUACUCAGGAUGGAGUCAGCUGCUAACCAUUGUUGACGAAGCCAAUCUUCUGCUACUACUCAGGGUGCAGAGGAAGACUGGUGAGAGAAACUGUUGCUUCUGUUGCACAGCUGAGGAGAGAGCUGCCGGUGAAGCUGGUCACUUCCACUGCUACUCUCAGUUAAAGAUGGCGCUGCUGGAAUAAGGUGACGGUUAACAGCUGCUGUUGGAAAAUCCUUCAAUGCUGCUCUCGGAUGAAGAUAGGACACUGAAUGCUGAUGUUACUGUUGGAACGGUGGCUGCCAUGGCUGAGGAGUUGCUGAUUCAGGGGUGUUGUUUUUGGUUUUGAGAGAGUUUCGUAUUUUAGUGUAGUGUGGACUGUGGCUUAUCUAUUUAUACCACCCUCAUUCUUUCUAUAUUUUCUGGACUAGUCUGGAAAUUUCUCAAGCUUUCUAGACUACUUAAGGAUGUUCUCCUUUCUUCUAGAAUUUUCUAGAGUAUUUCCCUAUCUUUCAAAAAAAUUUAAAGAGUCUUUUUACUUGCGUCAAUUUUAUUUUUAUUUCUUUUCCUUUUGUAGUUUUAAUGGUAUAUAUUUUUUAACUAGGCCAGUCCUAUUUUUUUUAAUUUCAUUUUAAUCACAAAAAAAAUAUUUGAUUAAUUUUGCCAUUUUGUUUUGUAUUUAUUUUUUUUAAAAAAAUAUUAAUGCCAAAGCUACAACCGAAUUGGCUUAAAGAUUAUGAAUUGACCAAAAAUGGUCAAAUCACAUUAAAACAUAAUUUAUUUGAAUUUUUUUUUAAAAAAAUAUUAAAAAUAGAGUAAAAAUAAAUUAUUACAACUCUAACAAAUCAUUAUAAAAAAAGUAUAUAAAUCAGUUAUUAAACAAAUAUUAACCAUUGAAUCAGAUUAUAAUAUAAGAGAGAUUAGUUAUGACAGAAUAUUCGAAUAAGCAAAAAACAUUUUGCUUUAAAGAAAUAAGAUGAAAGAGAACUUUUAUAUUUCUAAAUUCAUGAUAAAACCAUUUGGUUUAGGAUACCAUAAAAUUAACAGGUGUUCAAAAUUUUACAUGUUUUACUAUAGUGAAAAUGCAGAUUUUACCAAAUGUAAAACUUGUAGCCAUGCUAGGUAUAAACCCAGAACUAGUAGGAAAAUAACUUUUGUCACACAUAGAAAACUUAGAUACUUUCCAACCACUUCUUGACAUAUUUUAUUAUUAUGUUAUUAAACAUAAUUGGUGUUAUUAUAUUGUGAUUUUACUGUCUUAAUAUGUUGGAUAGAUAAGGAAUACAAAAACACUAAGGAAAAAAAAUGCUUUUAUAUCGAUAGAAAUAUCGAUGGACUGUUAUAUACUGAUGGAAUUACCGGUGAACUAAGGUCAUGUUUGUUUCCCGGAAAGUAGUUUCUGGGAAACCAUUUUCCAAACUUUCCUGUGUUUGUUUGCCAUUAAAAAAGUUGGUCAACGGAAAACAAUUUCUGGUCAAUGGAAAACACUUUCUAGUUAACAAAAAAUAUUUCAGUCAAAGACAAAUUUGACUUGGUUUUCAGGAAAGUGUUUUCCCUUAUUUGUGUUUGUUUUCUGGAAAGUGGUUUCCAGGAAAUCACUUUCCAAACUUUCUUGUGUUUGUUUGCCAUUAGGAAAGUUGGUCAACGGAAAACACUUUCCAGUAAAAGGAAAAUUUGACUUGGUUUUCAUGAAAGUGUUUUCCUGCAAAAUUUGGGGGGAAAACACUUUCCGGAAGUUGUGAAAAAUUUAGAAAUGUCAUUAUUUAUUGAUUAUAUCAAAUUUGAUCCUCAAACUUUUGAUUGCUAUAUAUAUUUUGUUUUGAAUAUUUAUUUUUCAAUUUCAUCUCUUAAAAUUUUAUUUUUAUAUUAACUUUGGUCCUUAUUUUUAUAAUUGCUAUUUGCUUUUUCCUUAUCAUUUUUUUAUUAAAAAUUUUUAUCUAUCAAAUUUGGUACUCAUUCUUUUGAUUGUUACUUAUUUUAUUUGAAAUAAUUUAUGAAAUGUUGAUUAUUAUUAUUUUAAUUUUUUCAUCUUUCAUUUUUUUUAAUUUUUUAGAUUUGAUCUCUAUUAUUUUGAUUAUUAUUUAUUUAAUUUGAGAUAAAUUAUGAAAUUAUAUUUUUUUUUCAAUUUCAUUCUCAUUCAACUUUUUAAUUUGUAAGAUUUGUUCCUUAUUAUUUUAAUAAACUUGAGAAAAAUAAAAUAUUAAUAAGUUAUUUUCCAGCUCAUUUUCCAUGACAUAACCAAAUACUGGAAAGUGUUUUCCAACUUAUUUUUCAUUACAUUACCAAACAUCAGAAAAUGCUUUCUCGGAAUUCACUUUCCAAAAGAAAACUACUUUCCAACAAACAAACGGGGCCUAAAUCCAUUGGAGAGUUCCAGAGAGUUGAAAAAAAUUACACAACUUUGCCACUGAAAAUUAGAGUCAUUAAAGGAAUUACUAACAGAAUGAAAUGUCAUUUGAAAAUUUGUUUAGGGGGGUUUGGAAAACUUUAGAGGGUUCUCAAGAAAUUUCAAUGUAAAUUACCACCAGAAUUACCAACAAACUGUAAAAAAAUAUUUAAUAUUUAAUUAUUCAUCGAUAAUUUCAUCGGUGAAAAAACUUAAAAAUAAAAUACCAAAAUACUUAAUUCUAGGAGAAAAAAAACCCCUUCUCUCUCCCCCUCAUUCCCUCUUCUUCCAUCCUUAUCUCUUCCUUAUGUCUAUAACUUUUCUCUUCUCUACCUGUCCUUUCCUCUCUUCUUUACCUCUACUUUCAAAUAAGUCUUCCCUUUAUCAUCCUCCUACUCUUUCAUUUUUUUUUUAUUGAUAGAUCUAUUUCAUUUUUUUAAUUAAUUUUUUGCACCAAUUUCUUUAAUGAGUUGAAGUUUUGAAGUACCGAUAAUAGCUCAUGGUUAACACGCGCCGACACUGUUUUGAGGUACUUGUUCCAACAAUUUCUAGUCAUCCCCAAUAACAUUAAACAUCAAUUCAUCACCUCAUUUUCUAUGUUGAAGUUUAUGGCUUUCAUUUCGAUAAAGUUUGAAACUUUAUCAGUUUCUAUCAAUGAUUUUGUUAGUUUUUGUUGUUAAAAUAAGAAUUGAACUUUAUAGUUACUGGGUUACAUUUUCUUGAAGUGGUUUUGCUCUUACAAUUUUGUUGUUUUUUUUUUUAUGGUCCUUUUAAUUUUUGCAUUGAUUCUUUAUAAAGCUAUAUUGUGUUGGGAUAGUAAUUAGGUAGUGCUUUCAUGUUCUACAUUUAUUGGUUGUUAGGUAUUAGUUAAGAUAUUUAAAACCAAUGAUAAAUUGGAUAACAAUGUUAUAUCCACUUAACUAGAAACACAAAAGCUAAUAAAAAGUUUCAUUUAAUCAUGAUAGAAUAGAAGAAAUAACAUAUAACUAACCUCAUUUAGUUUGGACCAAUACAUAAAUUAGAUAAUAGUCAUAGGUAAAAUCAAUUGGUUUGCGACAUAAGUUAUUGAUGUGUAUUUACAGGUUUUAAAAUCUUGGGUAGGCUCUCGUAUAAGUGGGGUGCUACUAAAAUUUCUUUAAAAUAUGAUAUAAUAAUAAUGUUGUUAUUUGUUUUAUCAUAUUUGUCUAGAUGACGAAGAGAAGCUUCAUAAAUACAAAUAUGGACAAACGCGUUAUUAGUUCUUCUAGUAGCGCUUAUGAUGAGCAUAAGCCAUUAAGUGCCAACCAUGACAAGACACCGCAUGCAUAGACACUCACUCUUGACACUAGCUCGUAAAUGCAAGCGUGACUUCGAGAGGGGGUGUCUUUUUUCAGAAAAAUGUAUACACUGAGAAGUAUAUUACUCAAUGGAAGCUCGACCAGAACAUGUAAAUUUAUUUUCCUUUCCUAUAUAAAAAAAACAAAAAAAAAAUAGAUAAAGUGUGAAUAAUUAAUUUAAAUGAAUGAAUGAAAAUCCAGGUUUACAAACGUUGAGGCAAUUCACAUGACAAUAUCGGUGAUGAAAUCAUUGAUGGAAGUGAAUUUGUUUCAAUAAAGUGAGGUUUUCAAAAAUCCUGAAUGAAAGCCUAUGAUUGAUAUUUGGUUUAAAUUGUUCAAGAUUAGUAUACACAUAAACAAUUAUUUUUUAAUAUUUAAUUCGGUUAGUUUUUUAUAAACUAAUUAUUUUAUGAAAUUGACAUGUGAAGAGAAAUUUUAUUGUGACGAGGCUGAAAACAGUGUGGCUAUGAAAGUAUAGGAGAAUCACAACACUAUUAGGUAAGAUUGAAUUCAAAUUGUGAUGUUUUUUUAAAAAAUAUUAACAUUUUAUUUUUCAUUAUCUUAUUCAAUUUUCUUUUCUAUGAACCUGAUUGCGUGAUUUUUUAUAUGAAUCCUAAAAAAAAAAAAAAAAAAUAAUACAAAUAUAAAGGUUUUUCAGGCUUGGAAGAUAUUGUUUUACGAGGGAUUUCAAACCUCUACACGUCUCGAAGGGUAUCUAGGACACUUAUAUCCAAUAUGUGACAUCGACGUAUUUUUUAAGGCAAUCACAAUCCAAUUCAGAGAGCCAAACUAAGAGGAUUGAUGGUUUCAUGACCAUGCACACUAGCAGAUCUAUUUUAUUCAUUUUACAUGCAAAGCAGAUGACAGGAUUUUGUUUUAUAUGAUAUUUAAAAAAUUGUUAUAUUAUAUAAAAAUAUUUAACUAAUAGUAGCUUUAUUUUUUUGUGAAGACCUAUAUGUAGAAGGAGGACAGACAACAACGGGUGUAGCAGCUAGUCAAUAGUCGAGCCUAGACGUUCAUUGUGAGUUGGAUUUGACAUUUUUUUAAAAGUAUUUUUUUUAUAUAUUUGAUGACUUGUUUUUUUUUUCAAGACACAUAUAACAUCCGAUUCCUUGAAAGAUGCAUGAACGAUCUUUCAACCCAUCUAGAAUUCAAUCCGAAUUUAUGGUUGGAGGUUGGAUCUAAUGCUAGACUUGAUAGAAAUUGAGUUUAUGAUAUCUCUAACACAACAUUUGAGAAUAUACAAGCUAGAUAUAGUGUCUUGAUCAUUCAGACCACGCAAUUCAAAUCGACCAAUCAAUCACUGUCAUUAAUGUGAUCGUACGAGAACACGUUCAAGUUGAGAUGACCUAACUUAGGGCUAAAACGGCCGAACUGAGGGAUAAAAUGAAUGUCUUUGAGCAUUUAUUGGCAGCUUUCACUGGUACAUGUACUCCAUCUUGUCACCGUGCUAGUUUUGUUAAAGAUUUGUCUCUGCCUUCUCCAUUAACUUUUAUCCACUAGAUAAAUAAAUUAUAUUUAAUAUUAUUUUUUAAAUUAAUAAUAAAAAUUUGAUUUUAUAUUUUUAUUUUUUAAUUGUAUUAUUUAUUUUAUUUAAAAAAACUAUUACAUAUAAUAUUGAUGGAAUGUAAAAUGCCAACGUAAUUACCAGUGGAUUAAGUCCCUUAGAGAGUUCUAGAUAGUUAAAAAAAUUACAAGACUUGUCAUUGUUAGAUGUAAUUCCUUGACGGAUUAGUUUCAUUGGUAAAAUACAUAUAAUUAUAUUUCUUCAGCGGAUUAAUUUCCUUCGUGAUUUGCCAUAAUCACCAAAGGAUUUACCAAUAUAAUUAUUGCUAGCAAUUUUUUUUUUUUGCCGCGAGAAAUCCAUAUAUAAAUUCAUCGAUGAUUAUAUUACCCGAUAAAAUAAAAAUCAUCAAUGAUAUUUUUUCUGAUGAUAUUACUUUGUAUGUGAUUAUGUUGGUAAUUGUACUUCUGACAUAAUCAGGCUUUACACUGCGACAAAAUAUUUUAUUGGUGUUUUGCUAUUUUCUAGUGGUGAAAUAUAGAUAUUGAAAAAUAAACAAUUAAGAACUAUGUAAUUUUAAUUGCAAAAAAGGAUAGGAGAUAUAUACAUUUGGUGUUGUCUUGGUUCAAAUUAUUUGGACAAAAAAGAAAGCAGAAUACAUUGGCCUUGUCUUGGUUCAAAUUUCUGCAUAAAAACUAAUCUACAACUUUGGACAAUUAUAGUAAGAUAUUGUAAGACUUAGUAUUAAAUCUAAAAUUUGUUUUCAAACUUAGUAUAAAACUCUAAAAUGUGUAACAUAAGAGUCUUAUUUUACUUUAUAAUUUUUUUACAUGGAGUUUAAAACUUGAAAUUUAUACUAAUAGAUUUCAUAUUCAAAUUUUGAAAGUGGCAGAGAGGAAAAUCCAAUUCAAUAUUCAACAAGAAAAUAAAAAAAGAGUUUACUUUUAUUUGAAAGAAAUAACAAUAAUAAUAUAUGAAAGAAUAAUUAAUUAUAACUUUAGCAUGUUCUAAGAAAGAGCUAAUUUUAUUUUAUUUUUAUGAAAUAUGAGAGAUAUAUUAAGUAGUUGGUAUAGUUAUUAAGUACAUGGCUUAAUAGAGACAUAAAAACAAAGUCAAAUGAGUCAUAAAACUUACUUAUUGAUGGGUGAAUGUGUUUUAUAUAUGUUAUUAUUUUUUACCUAAAAUUCAUGUUUAAAAUGACCAAAUGGAGGGUAAUAACAAUGUAUUUUUAGGCUUAACUACAUGUUGAAUCCACGUACAUAUGAGUUUGAUGAAUUGUUAAAACCAAUAUCCCUAAAAUCAACUACACACUAAGCUCAAGUUGCCAGAGAUGAUAUCAUAAGGCUAAGCAUCUCGCCAAGCCCAACCGAAUAUAGAACUGAUAAUCUUUUUAUGUAUCUUAUUGGUCCACAAAACUCUACUUGUUUUUUAUCAUAAACCUUAAUAUAAAAUUUUAAAGUCAAUGAUACCCAUCUCUAUACACCUUCUAGGUAUAUAAAAGUCUUCAAAAUGAUUUUGAACUUAUCCUUGAUUCAUAAUAUGUAAAGAAUAUUUGUCAUUCAUUAAUAUAUAUAUCAGAAGUAUUUUCCCUCAUUAAUUCUAUUAAGGUAAGAUAAUACUUUAUUUUUUUUUCUAUUUAUAAAAAGUUAAAACUCAUGGACUUUAAAAAUACUAUGAAUCUUUUAAAAAAAGUUCACAAUAUCUUUAUUCUCAAUAUUCUUAGCAUAUAUAUUUUAAUAGUCUAUCUAUUUAAAAUAUUUUUAUUAUUUCUAUAAAAAAAAAAUACUUACUUUAGUAUUAAAGAAUUCUCAAAUCUACUACAUAAGGUUUUUUACAGGUACCAGCCAUGUUAAUUUACCAGGCACUAGCUAUGAGUUAACUUGGCAAGAGAGGGUGAAUUGAAUCACUAAAAUUAUAAAAUUAAUCAAUUAUUUAUUAUAUAAAUCUUAUUUCUAAAUAAAUUAUCUGAUCUUUUUGUAAUCUCAUCACUUACAUAAUAACGUUUCUCAAACAAAAUCAAAUAUUAAAAAUUAUGUAAUAAAAAAGUUAUAGCUAUACAAUUAAAAUAGCUUCUCUAAAAAGUCUUUCUUUAGCCAAAUAAAAUGAUAGAGAAGAUUAGCAUAGCAUUGCGAAAGGAUGACAUGAUCAAAACGGGAAAUGGUCCAAGAAAGGGUUCAUUAUUGAGAUUUUGAUAUGUCUAAGGAAGUAGUUGAUUGAAUAUAAAAUCGAUCGGGACAAAUAACAAUUAAUUAAUUAACACAAAGGAGGGUUUCAUUCAAAAUGAACAGAAAGGCAGGAAGCAAAUAUUAAUUAAUUGUUGAUGGUGGACUAUAUAUAAAGAUAUAAAACAAAAAGUCAAAUGUAUUAUAUAUCUUUAUAUAUAGUCCACCAUCAACCAUUUAUAUAUAUAUUCUUGACUUCUAAUCCCAUGACCUUGACCAAUUGACCUUAUCUGUACGUAAACUAUAGCCAAUGAGUGAUUGACAAGUGGAAACAAAAUCUGGGGAGCCAAAAAGAUAAACUAAAGGUUACAAGAAAAAAAAUAUAUAGAGAGAGACAUCGUAGACGCGUGUAAUGUCAAUUUUCGACUAGAGCUACCCCUCAAUUCUCUCCUAAAAAGGGUUUAAUGGCCUUCGGUAGGGGUAAUAUAUAUAUAUAUAUAUAUAUAUAUAUAUAUAUAUAUAUAUAUAUAUAUAUAUAUAAUGUUGAUAUCCGGAUCAACUUGUGCAUACCUUUACUAAUCCCAUAAAUCCUAAAAUUAACAACUAUAUAAACUUUUAAUAACUAUUAUAUUAGCAAUCAUAGGGCUCGAACUUGAGACUACAGAAAAAAACAAACUUCUUACUUUCAAGUUUUUAUUACUAGACCACCUACUAGAUGAUUAGUCCUUACGAGUAAUAUUUUAGAUGUGGAGGAUAGGGAGAACUUGGCAGUGUUCAGUAACAUGAAAUGGGAGUUUUUUUUAUUAUUUAUUUAAUUUUUCUUUCAAUAUGUUUAUUUGUCAAAAAAAAAAAAAAAACUUGAAGAUUAUAGUUGUUUUUCAUAAAAAAAGUCAAAACCAUAAUUUAUACUGAUCAUCUAUUUUUGUUUUUGUGGUAAACUAAUGGUAAGAUAUUUAUUUUGCAAUAAAUCAAGCUAAAAAAAACAUGUAAUUUUAUAGAAAUUACGAUUCCCAUCCAGACAAGAUUUCUCCAAGAAAUAUCGGCCGGGGUACCAAAGAAAAGUCAAAUUAAUUAACUCUAAUUUUGCCACACACUCUACCAUGGCAAUUAGAUUAAUUUUCUAGCUAGACUUGCGUGUUUUCAUGGAAGAUUUCAAAAAUAUAUGAACAUUGAAUAUGAACAUUGAGAGAAAAGGUCGUGAAAACAAUGGGAAGGAAAUUAAAACGUACUUAAAUGUUUGACCCAGAAAACAUUGAGAGAGGAAUGCAAUGUGAACAUUGAAUAUGCUUUCUAUCCUCAAAUAUGGGGCUUUGUAUCCUUAAAUAUGGGGUUUUAGAGAAGACAUGGCGAUAUUUGAAGUCGGCAAGAUGAAAAAAGAAUAAAAAAAAAGGACUUCUAGCAAGCUUAGAGGCUAUGUGUGUGUGUGUGUGUGUGAAGCCAAUAUUGACUUCACUCUAAUUUCACUCAAUCCUCGGCAGCUAUAGGAACUAGUUGGCCUCUGGCCUCCAGGUCGGCCAGAGAAGGAAGAUGUGGAGGGUUAAAAAAAACAAAAAACAAAAAACAAAAAAUAAAAGGAGAAGAAGAACCACUCACAUAUCAUAAGGAUCAUACUUUUUAUUUUAUUCAUGAAUAUGGAUUUUCUUGUGUUAGGAACCGGCCGGCUAUACCAAAAUUUGAAGUUGAACAUUUCAAUUACCCUGAACAUUUAUUUAAUUAUAUAAAAACGUUGAUAUUGUAUUAAUUUAUUUUUAGUUAGAAAGGAAAUGUUCAAAACUCAAGACUUCUUGAAGAAAACGAUGAUAUUAGACUUCUUGAAAUUAACCCAUCAUGUAUUUUCUUCUUGGUUGCUUCUUCUUUUUCUUAUCAAUUUGUUUUGAAAAUGCACUUCACAGCCUCAAAAUUCAAUCCAUUACGAAUUCUGUCAACUGUUUAGCAAAUAGGAGUUUCUCCUUUUCUUUUAUUUUCUUUUUCACGAAAAAAGGAGCCUGUCUCCACAUGGUUGAAGUUUAUUAUUCGUUUAAAUAGAGAGGCAUUAUUUUCAUUUUUCUAAUAAUUAAUUAACCAUAAGUCUUGCGACACACACCGUGGCGGUUGACGAAUCUCCCUCCUAAGUAUAUUGAAAAGAUGUUUUGAAUUUAAUUAUAAGAUUCAAGAGUUGUCAUAUAAUAUUAUGGUCACUAAAAAACUUAUUAGUCUACAAGAAUCCGAAUAAAAAACUGGUUGUGCAAAGAGAAAACACAUCACCUCAGUACAUCCUAUCUAAUAAGUUGCAUUGUUAUUUAAUUGUAUAGCCGGCCGGUAAUUGAAAUGUUCAACUUAUCUUCAAUGUUUUUAAUAUUUUGAUAAGUUGGAUUGUUAUUUGAUUGUUAUUUUAAAUCGUGUUUUUGUCCAUUGGUCUUAUCUAAAGUUCAAGGUAAGUUUUCUUUCAUGAGAAAGUCUCUAUUUUAUUGGGUUAAAUCUUAAUCAUUCAAGGGACCAGACUUAUUUAUUUCAUGGAUAUAGUUAAGUCCUAGCAUUCUGAAUGACAAACUAAUUAUAAUGGUAUUUUUUUUGUAUUUUGGCUAAACCCUAAGGAUAAUCAUAAACCGGUUACGAUAUCUAUUUUGUAUAUUUUUUUAAGAUGAUAAAAAUAAUUUUAUCUUUCUUUAGAAAAUAUGCGUGAAAAACUUUUAAAAUUUGAUGUAUGCUCAAAGACAAAACAUAUUUUUUUGUGCUUUUUGGAAAGAGGAAAUUAAUUAAUUUUUUUAUUUUUUAAAAAAAUUCAAAGAAAACCAAGUAUUUUUAAUACCAAGUUUGUAUCUUAUAAUGUAAGUCUACAUCUUGACUUAUUUAAAGUAUAAUUAAGUCAUUUUCACUUAAUUAAAUUCUUUAAUUUGACCCAAAUUAAUUCGUAGACAUAAUUAAACUUUUAAUUUGGCUCUUGACUAAAUCAAAUUGGCAUGUUAAAAAUUUAAUUAUAUCAUUGGGAUUAAUUUUUAUGUAGAUUCGUUUAAUAAUUAUUUAAUUUGACAUUGAAUUCGCAUUGUCUCUUCAAUCUUGGAUACAAUGAGGUAUGAUUAUGCUUCUAAUUCCAUUAAAAAUCACAGCUUGAUUCUUCUAUACAUAUGAAAUCCUCGUCAGCUUGCUUUUUCUAAACUGUUAGUCUUCUUGUUAUUAUUAUUUAAAGUAUUUUGGUGGAUUAAUCCAAAAUAGAUUAUAACAAUAAGAACAAAAAAAAAACCUUGGUUGAUGUAUGAAGGGUGUAAAAUAUAUCUAAAUUAAAAAUAGAGAAGGCAAAAUAUAAUAUUCAAAUUAUUAAAUAUAAAUAUAAAUGUAUUUUAAGUUUUUGAAUUGAGAUUUUAUUUUUAAAAUAAUAUAAGAGCCUUUAAUUUUGAAUUAAGGAUGGGAUAUCAUGAAUUUAAAUCGUAUCAUUCUUACUCGUAAUCAUAAAUUCAAACGGUAUCAUUCUUGUCCUCUCAUAACUGAGAUAUGAGUCUAUCUGUACGUUAAAACGAAGAUGCAAAGAUAUAAUAUUUUUUAAACAUAUUUAUAUUUAUAAAUUCAUGUGUAGUUUAAGCUCUUGUGGUGAACAGGAUGCAAGACAUAAUAUUCUUCCACGUAUUUAUGAUAUUUGUUAAUUUUUCGUGAUAUUUAAUAGGGAUUAAGGAGUCAAGAAGAGACCCCUUUAAUUAGAAUACUUGGAUAUAUAUUAAAUAACACAUGAGAUUUAAUUUGUUAUUUAUAUUUAUAUAUAGUACACCAUCAACAACUAAAUAAAAUUUGCUUACUGCCUUUUUGUACAUGUUGAAUGACACCCUCCUUUGAAAUAAUUAAUUAUAACACACGCAAGAUAUGUAUAAUAUUGCUAUUUUAGGUUUUAUUAAAAGAUAAAUAGUAGUCAAAUGAAGAAUAUCCAUAUAUAUAAAUACUUAAAAUUUAAUAAAUAAGAUAUAUAUAUAUAUAUAUAUAUUCAAAGCUUGAUAAAUAAAAUAUGAAUAUUUAUUUUUUAAUUUAUAAUUAAGUGAUAAACAUUAUAUAAAUAAAUAAAAAUUCAAAGAUACUCAUUGUAUUCAACAAAUUAACCCCUUUAGAAUAUUAGGACUUUUAUUUAUAUAUUUAUAUAUCUUUAUGUUUUUAAAAUGUAGUUGCGGUUUUUUUUUAAAAGUAUUUUUUAUGUUGAAAUGCAUCAAAAUAAUUUUUUUAUUUUAAAAAAUUAUUUUUACUAUCAAUGCAUUAAAACGAUACAAAAUAUAUAAAAUUAAAUUAAAUUUUAACAAAAAAAUAUUAUAUUUUUAUGGAAUGCCGCCGCGUUCCCAAACAGUGAUAUAUAAAGUCCACCAUCAACAAUUAAUUAGAAUUUGCUUCCUGCGCCUUUUUGUUCAUGUUGAAUGACACCCUUCUUUGUAUUAAUUAAUUGUUAUUACUUUGCCCCGAUCGAUUUUAUAUUCAUGCAACCUUCACAGAUCUUCCUUAACACAUAUCAACAUCCCUGCGCAGAGCUGAGCUAAUCUUCUUUGUAUUGUUUUAUUUGGCUCUUAUACAAGCUGUUUUAGCUAUAUGGUUAUACCUUUUUUAUUAUAAAGUUUUUUUUUUUUUGAGAAAAAAACCUUGUUGAGUAUACAUAGAAUACCUUAUAUUAAUAAUGAGAAAAACCUUGUUGAGUAUACAUAGAAUAAGUUAACAGUAUAAAACACAAGCACAAUGUAGCCAUGGAAAAAAAAUCAUAACAUAAAAAUAUGUAAUACCUUAUAUUAUAAAGUAUUUUUUUUUUUUUGAGAAAAAAACCUUGUUGAGUAUACAUAGAAUACCUUAUAUUAAUAAUGAGAAAAACCUUGUUGAGUAUACAUAGAAUAAGUUAACAGUAUAAAACACAAGCACAAUGUAGCCAUGGAAAAAAAAAUCAUAAACAUAAAAAUAUGUAAAUACCUUAUAUUAAUAAUGAGAAAAACCUUGUUGAGUCAACAGUAUAAAACAAAAGCACAGAGUAGCUAUGAAAAAGAAAAAACAUGAUGUCAAAUUAGAAAUGAUGUCACUGUUGAAAUUCUAAAAAAAAAAAAGUCUUUCCAAUAGCAAUCAAAGGACUGCAAUAAUGUGAAAAUAUAUAAGAUGAAAUAACCUAAUAUUAUUUAUAAUCUUCAAUGAAUAUUAAUGAUUUGAAUUAUGAUUUGGUGGCAUACUAUAAGAAAUUUGUUUUAAUUGCAAUGGAUGAAUCAUGUCAGUUUAAUAGUAUGAUUGUGAUUGUUUUUUAAAAUGUUUUUCAUUUAAAAAUAUAUUAAAAUAUUUUUUUAUUUUUAAAAAAUUAUUUUUGAUAUCAGCGCAUCAAAAUAAUUUAAAAACACAAAAAAUAUAUUAAUCUAAAAUUAAAAAAAUAAAAAUAAAAUAAUUUUUUUAAAAUAUAAAAACAAACAAAUAAAAUUAUUCGAAGUCCUGUUAUAUUUCUCCAGCCAUAUUCAUGGUAAGAAGAUAUUUUAUUUUUAUAUUUUAAAAGUGAUUUUAAAAUAAAAUAUUUUUUUUAUAUUUUAUUUUAAAUUAAUAUUUUUUAUACUUUUAGAUCAUUUUAAUAUGUUAAUAUAAAAAAUAAUUUUUUAAAUAUAAAAUAUAUAUAACUUUAAUAUACUUUCAAAUAAAAAGUACUUUAAUAUUAUCAUUAUAAAAAUCUUGAAGACACCCAUGAUAUUUGCUAGCUAAACUACACAACUAGUACAAGCUGCCAAAAGCCAAAAACCUACCGAUUAGUUUAGCUACCUCAUAGUUUUAUCCUCGCAGUUCAUGCGUAUCGUCUCUUGAAGAUAAAGGUAGUAUACGAAGUUGUAAUAAGAAUAAUUUUUAAAAUGAUUUUUUAUUUAAAAAUAUAUUAAAAUAAUAUUUUUUUUAUUUUUUAAAAUUUAUUUUAAUCUCAAUAAUUUAAAUAAUAUAAAAUCAUAAAACAAAAAACUAAAUAGUUAUCAAAAUCUGCCGGCAAUGAAAAUAGUAGCUUCUAGGAGUGUCAAAAAAUAAAAAAUGGAAUCAUUUAGUAGAUGAUAAAUAAUAAAAGUUUAAAAUUAAAAGGUUGCUUCGCUAAUAAUUUUAGAUUCGAGCUUUAUAAUUAUUAAUAUUAAUAGCUAUUAGAGAGCUAUCUAAUUAUUAAAUUUAAUACUUAUAAAAAUUAAUGAAAAUACAUGUAAAUUAACGUGAAGAUCUCCCUAUAAUAAUAAAAAAAUAAAAUAAAAGGAGUGUCGGACUGGGAAUCAAGCCCAAUGAAAUUCAAGCAAAAAGUCGUAAAACAUAAAUUGAAAACCGGCGUCCAAUCAUUUCAAAUCCGCGUCUGCUUCCCUUCUACUUUUUUGAGUCAAAUAGAAGAAGACCCAAAAAGAUAAUAUGAAAAUAAUUUUGCACCUCUCUCUCUCUCUCUCUUUUCCUUUCAUUUCACUGGUGACGAAUUAAAUACAAAAUAUUUUCGGAUCAGUUUAAUUUCACUCAUUGAAAUUGAGUUGUUCUAACUACUUUUUUUUAUAUUGCGUCUUCAAUUAUGUAAGGGGUGCCUUUUAAAAAUAUAUUUGUUUUAAAUUAAUAUUUUUUAAAUGUUUUUAAUUAUUUUAACACACUGAUACAAAAAAAUAUUGUAAUACAUGUCUGAACGUUUUUUAUAUUUAUAAUUACAAAUAACCUUCUAAUUACCUAUAUAUUUAUCAGAGUAGGAAUCUAGCAUUCAACCCUCGAUUUUCCCAUUGAACAAAUGCCAGAAUUGAUCUCGGAAUCAUCAUCAUCAUCAUCAUUUAGUUCUUGUAUUAUUGAGUGAACUUAGGAUCGAUACAAGGCCAUUUUCAAUGUAAUCACAGCAGAGCGAGAGCCAUUAGUUCUUACAAGUAUUGUCAUAAACUUAUUAAUAAGAAAAUGAAAGAACAUGGAAAUAAAGUUAGGGGGGCGAGGAGCUCAAAGUCCACCAUUAAGAUACUGUUUGCCAUUGCGUUUGUAUCUGUAUUUUAUUAAUUUUAAUUAUUAAUUUUUUGUUAAAAUUGAAUGUGGUUUGUAUUUUUUGGAUCGUUUUGAUGUGCUGAUGUCAAAAAUAAUUUUUAAAAAAUAAAAAAUAUCAUUAAUAUGUAUUUUGACAUGAAAAACUAUUUAAAAAAUAAUCAAUAUCACACUUGUAAAACACGCUGUAGAGCUUCUCUAAGUUCAGAAAAUUCCAAGUUGAAUUGGCUUCUUCAAUUCAUUACCUGGGCCACAGUCCUUGACGUCGACAUGACACAAAAGAAUUCAAAAAUAUAUUCAACUUGUGAGGACGAAAACCAUGACUUUCCCACUUUUUUGUCUCCUUGUUUAUCACCUGCUUCUUCCUGGAACUUUCCUUACAAUCCAAGCCAUCGAUUGACAAGCCAACUUUUUCUAUAAAUAUUUGAUCAUUCUUGCGUGUUUCUCUCAUUCACUUGACCAAAUUCACACCACACUCGCUUGCCAGCUAGCUUGCUAGCUAGCUAGUUGUCUUGUGUCGAAUUCUAAUUUCUCCUGCACUAAGUUUUGUAUAGAUAUACUUAGAGCUAGCUUCUUCAAGAGAGAGAUUCAUAACUAAUUCAUCAAUGGACUCAUCAUGGGUGAACACUUCUCUUGAUCUCAACAUCAAUCCCUUCAAGCAUGUCAAUGAAAUCACUCAAGUUCAGGUGAGUUCUUCUUCUUCUUCUUUUUUCAUACAGUAUAUAUAUAUUUAAAGGAUAUCCUUAUUGGAUAUUCAGCUCUCAGUUCUUCGAUCUUUCCCGGUUUUUCUUGGUCUUGAUAUAUUAUUGUCAUGUGUAUAUAUGCGCGCUAAAAGGAUUUAUCACUCUGUUUUGAAUCAGAAAAUAAAAAAAUUCGAGGGAUAUUCUACCUGGGUUGAACAGAAAUUACAGGUUAAAAAUGAGGUCAGUAGUUUCUAUCACUUUUGCUUCUGGAUUACUGUCUUCUGAUCUUCCAUCCUCCAAGCAAGUAUACUUAAUCAGAAACUUUUUUUUGAUCAUUCUCAGGAUGGUGUUCGUGUUCUUGUUGAAGAGUUGACUCGGAUAAGUAGUGAGAACAAGAAGUUGACAGAGAUGCUUGGUGUUGUAUGCGAUAACUAUAUGGGUUUGCAAAAACAUCUAGCUGAUUUGGUGAGCAAGAAUUCUGUAAAAGAACUCGGUACACCAAUAUCAUCACGGAAGAGAAAGGCUGAGAGUGAAGAUUAUAGCAUCGUGAUUAAUGGAAUCAGUGGAGGAAAUGCAGAGAGCAGUUCUAUUGAUGAAGAGUCAAGUAAAAGGCCAAAGGAGAGUCUGAAAUCAAAGAUUUCAAGGACUUAUUUUAGGACUAGUGAAUCCGAUUCAAGCUUGGUAAGUUCCUUGAUCAAUCAACAUCUUGUUGCUAAUGAUGUGGUUAAUUUUGUGUAAAAAUCAAGAUGUCUAUUAGGGCUUUAAUUAACCUUCCUUCUAAUAUAAAUAAACUUGGUUUAUGUUUAGGUUGUGAAGGAUGGAUAUCAAUGGAGAAAAUAUGGCCAAAAGGUGACCAGAGACAAUCCUUCUCCUAGGGCUUACUUCAAGUGCUCAUUUGCCCCAAGUUGCCCUGUCAAGAAGAAGGUAAUUAUAUAUAAUUAACACAAUACAGUGCUUUUACCUCCUCUUCAAUUUGCUUUCUAUUAUGAUUAUUGCUCAUAAUUAUAGGGAUAUUUGAGAUUUCUUACGAGAGAUUUUACCUGGUUUUUUCAGGUCCAAAGAAGUGCUGAAGACCCUUCUGUUUUGGUAGCAACUUAUGAAGGAGAGCACAACCACGCUAGCCACUCUCAACAUGAACCAUCACUAGGCUCGAGCCACGGUUCUAAUUUUGGUCCAAUUCCCACACAAUCACCGAUCAGAAGUCCAGCCCCUACUGUGACCCUUGAUUUGAUCCAAGUUGGAAGGCAUGGAGAUACUGCUACAAAGCCUGUUCAAGAAAUGGAAGUGCCUGCACUUCAAAAAAUUUUGGUCCAACAAAUGGCGUCUUCUUUGACAAGAGAUCCAAAUUUUACAGCUGCACUAGCAGCUGCUAUCUCUGGGAGAUACAACCAGACUCGGAUUGAGAAAUGGUGAAAUUACUUUAAAAAAAUUAGAAUUUUAUAUAGCACUUUGAAAUUUUAUAUAUAUGUGAGUGAUCGAUCGAUGUACGUACAUAUAUCAUAUGAGUUUGAAACUUAUAAUUAAUAUGAAAAAAAUAAAUAAAUCAUAAGAGUUUAUUUAAUUCUUCUUUAGUUUGCAAAAUGACUAAUUUCUAUAAUUACUUCUUCUCUAUUACUUUGAAACAGGAAUAAUCACUUAUAUCAUAUAUGACAGAAAAAGAAAGUUAGUAUAGGCAGUCUUCGUGGAUUAUUUAUUUUCUAAAGGGUAAAAGCUCGGUCAAAUGGCAUGCACUCAGUAAAAUAUUCAUUUCCAAGGUAGUACCAUGUAAAAGUUUAGAUAUAUGUUAAUUUUAUAGUAUUGUAGGUUAAGGAGUUUUAUUAUAGAUUUAAGAAUAUAAAAUUCUUUUUCAGUCUAUUUCUUUUAAGUAAAGUGCUUCUCGCUUAUUAAAUGAUUUUUUCGUAACCGACCUCACUUAACCUGUGAUCUAACUUGAUAGUGAGCAUAUAUGCAACGAUCGAUAAUUUACUAUAAUUUAUACACUUAUCCCAUAAUGGUUUGUUACCGUUUUUCAAAAGAUAUAUAAGAAGAAGAAAAAAACCUGGUUGCGUCUACAUUUGGUUCUUCACCUACGAUUGAACAUUUAUUUUUAUAACCUUGAUUCAUUCUCAUCACAUUCAUAACUAUACUUAUAAGUAUUACUAUUAUCAUCUAUAACUUUAUGCAAUUUGAUGAAACUAGAUGUUGACUCAAUUAUCCUUUCUAUCAUGGUCCUGUAAGGAACAUAUAGUUCUCUAUGUACAAACCAAUACAAGUAUUUUUUUCAUUAAUCAUUUGUAUAAAAGAUGCAUUGUAACAACAUGUGGAUAAAAAAUAUAUAUAUUUUUACACCCUUACAUGGAUAUCCAAUACCGCCUUUACUAAUAUUUCUUGGAUUAGAUAGUGUGUAAUUAGUAAAACCCUUAAUCACAUUACAAUAAUCCAUCAUGUACACCCUUCGGCUAAAACUCUAUAUAUCCAAAAAUGAUCAUCCAUUAUUUAUAUCAAACUUGUAUAGAAUAUUGAUGACAACAUGUAUUAAUUAAUUAUGUGAACUAAAUAAAUUAGUUAACAUUGGUUUAACUCAAACUUAUUUAAUCUAUUUUAAUAAUACCCUUAAAUCAUUAUUAAUUUUCUACAAAAAAUCAAAUUUCUCCACAUUUAUUGAAAUGAUCAAUUUAACAAUAAAAUUGAAAAAAGAUGAAACGUACCUAUUAAAAAAAAGUCACUAUUUAGUUCAUUACAAAACACCCAGUCAUGAAAUCGAAAUCAAAUUACAAAAAAUAUAAUUAUUUUUUUAAUCUCAAACCAACUCUAACAUGUACAAAUCAUACAUUCAUACAACAAAUUUCUAAAGAAAUAAAGUUAUAAAACAAGUAAACACACAAAUAAACUACAUAUACUAUAUCAAAAUACCAUAAAAAUAAUAUUUAAAAAAUAAGUUAGAAUAAAAAAUAAAUAGUUUUGAUUACUUGAUGCGAGAAAUCCUAAAAAAAUUGAACCAAAACAAAGAUGUUGAUAGACUGAGUGUUUGGGUGAUUGGAUGUGUGGUGAUGUAAGUAUGAUUUGUGAUAAAAUAUGAAGGUUUGUUGUUAUUUUCAGAGAGAAGGAGGAGGAGGAAAUUGAAGAGGGGUUUGCUUGUCAUGUCAUAACUUAAAUCUUACCUAUGGAUUUAGGGACGGAUAUUAGCAACGGCUUUAUCUCAUCACUAAUAUCAUUUGUAAAAUGACAUGUCAUUUUUUUUUUUUUCAUUUAUUCUUUUCUCACUAUAAUUCCCUCGGUAUACACUGACAGACAAUUUUCAUUAGUAUAUACUAGGGGACAUAACGAUGGAAUAGUGUCGGUAAAGUCACUGCAACUUACCGACAGAAUUGUUUUCGUUUACAUUUUUUAAUUUUCUAGUAGUGACAACUAAUAUAAUCUUCUUAUAUGAUGAAAAUUAAAGGCAAAAAUAGCUUGUUUGUUUUAUCUUCAAUCCAUGUGUGAUUUGAUUUCAAGGGAUAUACCAUUUAUUUUAAGUUAUUAAUGAUGUUAUUAAAUAAAUGAAUGUAUGUUUAAAAAAUAUGUUACAGAAAGAUUGUUUAGAGUCUUGGAAACUAUGAGAUAAUCCAUUGAAAUAAUUCAAAGGUCACAAAAACAAAGGAGAUAAGUUAGAGAGUCAUUAAAAAUAGAAUUUCAAACAACUAACAUCUAUUUAAGUGAUUUCAAGAAGUAACAAUGAAUAAAAUAUACUAUAUUUUUUUGUUUGCGCUAGGCUGCAAAGACUGAGGGCCACUUUGCAAUAUUUCAAGGCUAGCACACCUUUUAAGAUGGAGGAGAGAGAAAGAGAAGGGAGAAAAAUUAUAGUCGGAGCUCUGUCGUGACCCAUAGGAUGACAUGCUACGGGCCACCGUAUAGAGGGUCGCGCGAGGCUUUGGACACCACCUCAAAAGGUAGUGAUCAACGACCACUAAAAGGCAUCGAACACACCUCUAGAAAGGUGUGAGUGCCUCCUACUUAUUGGCCCAUGCUAUGCAUGCGCCAAUGAUUUUUUUUAUUUAUCAAAAGACCAAAACACCCUUAAUCCCACAUGAUAAUUGCAAAAAAAAAAAAAAACAAACGAGGUCAAAAAAAUAAAAAAUACCCCUUGACCUUAGGCAAAAAAAAGUUGACCUCAAGGGCUAUUCAAUAAUUACACUGUAUAAAAAAUGUGAAAAUCCAGAAAUACCCCUUAGACAUUAGUUGUGUUUUUUUUUCAAGGGUAUUGGUGUAAUUACAUUGUGUAAUAAAAUGUGGAAAGACUACUUUACCCCCUGAGUGUGAGUUCAAUCAUUUGGUUUUUAAAGGGCAAAGUAGAAUUAAUUUUAUGUAUAAUAACUGAAUAUAAAAAUAGUGUUUGGUUAUUAUUUAAAGAAAAAAAUAGAGAUAACAAAAAUAAAUGGCACAAUAGAAACAUAAAUGUAGCUGUAUUUGGUAAUAGUAUACAAGACAAAGUAAAUUUCUCUAUGUUAUAUUUGGUUGAUGAGGGAACAAAAUAUAAAAAAAAUAUAUUUUAUCCUUAAUAUAUACUAUCACCAAACUUGAAAUAUUUAAAAUAAUAAAUAGAGAUCAUUAUUUUUACUUUAGUUUAAAUAUUUAAAAUAAUAAAUAGAGAUCAUUAUUUUUACUUUAGUUUAUAAUAAGUGUCGCACCCGACAUCGAGGCGGCCUUAAAAAAUUAAAUAUUGAAUUUUUGGGAAAGAACGGAUUUCUGGCAUCUUAUUCUUUGAUGGGGAAUGAUCUUGUUUAAGGACUUGCCACCUAGUAUUAUGGUCACUAGGAACCCUAACUGGUUAUAAGAGAUUAUAUGGUUCGAGACUAGUUACGUAAAAGAGAACAUAUUAUCACCCCUUAAACGUUUUGCCUGAGGCAAACUGCACUGAUGAUUUUGACUUAAAUUGUUAAAUAUGUAUUGGUUUAUGCUCUGAUGGUUUACUUGCAAUAUUCUUGACUCUGGCGUCAGUGAAUAAACAAAUAAAAAUAAAUUUAUUUUUACGCAUGCACAUAUUUUUUUUAUUUUUUCUAGCUAAAUAAAACAAAAUACAACAAAUAAAAAUAAUAUAAAUUUAAACCGGUAUUUUUAUUCCUGACUCUGGUGUUAGUGAAUAAACUAAUAAAUUUACAUUAUUUUUAUUCGUGCAUACACAUUUUUUUAUUUUUUAUUUAUUGUACUUUUCUAUUUUUUAUUUUUUUAUUUUUUUUAUUUUUUUAUUUUAGAGGCUGGGCUGACUCAGUUGGGUCACUGGUCUAGACCAGUGACCAAUGAAUUACAAUUCACUUGCUGCAGUAGCAAGUGAAUUAUAAUUCAUUGCUACUGUAGCAGUGAAUUGAAAUGCAAAGGGAACGGCACUUACCUCAGUGCAGGAAACGAAAGGGACGAAGACGAUGGUGAUGGCGAAGGCACGCUGGCUGGACAAUAACCUUCUGUUUCCCUUUUUGUUUUCUUUCUUUCUGAUCGUUCUUUGUUUCUCUGUUUCCCCUGGUUCUGUUUCUCUCCGUCUUUGUUCUUCUGCGUGUCUAUAUUCUUGUUCUCUCUGUCUCUGGUUUUUUUUAUUCGUUCCCAGUCUCUUUAUUUCCCCAGGUUUUAGUCUCUGUUCGGCUCUGUGGUUUGCCGAUUCUUUCCCUCAGUUUUGUUGUUUCGGUUCCUGCUCAGCCCCUUGUUUUUUCUUGUUUCAGUCCCCUGUGUUAUUCGUCUUCCAUAACAGACACACCAUAAUAUACACUGAAAACCAGUAGUGCACCACUGUAUAACAAACACUACACAAGUCUGUUACACUCACAUAUAUAUAGGCACCUACAUUGUACAUGCAAUCUGUUAGCCAUUCUGUUAGCAUAUUUGUUUGUUAGAGUAUAUAUAUACAUGUAUAAAGCAUUUAAUAAACAUGUCAUUCCACAACUCUGCAAGUUAUUAUGGUAUCAGAGCACUAAUUUUUCUUCCCUGCCUACUCUUUUGUUUUUCUUUUUUUUACUUCAAAUGAAGACCACCAUCCUUAACACCAAUGAUCACCACAGCACAUUGAUUACCAUCAAUGUAGCAACCCAAACUCCAGUCAAGCUUACCUCCACCAACUAUCUGGCUUGGAAACUUCAAUUUCAAACUCUUUUCAUCGGUUAUGAUCUUCAUGGCUUCAUUGAUGGCACCCAUCCUUGCCCUACAUCUCUUCUUCUAGAAACAACCACUCCUAACCCUACAUAUCCACUCUGGAUCCGUCAAGAUCAACUACUUCUCAAUGCGAUUCUUGGCUCCCUUUCACCUACCAUCAUGCCCUUCGUUGCUCAAGCACGUACCUCCAACGAAGCCUGGACAAUCUUGGCCAACACGUAUGCCAAACCAUCUUGUGGCAGAAUUAAGCAAGUCAAAAAUCAAUUCAAACACAUCAAAAAAGAGUCUAUGGGGGUCUCUGAGUUCCUUCAGACAAUUAGAGCUCAAGUUGAUGAGCUUGCCACUCUUGGCACCCCAGUUGAUGCUGAAGACCUCUCAGACCGAAUACUUGAGGGCCUUGGUGAUGACUAUAAAGAGCUGACCAAGGCGGUUCAAGCUCGUGAUAAUCCCAUCUCUUUUGAUGAGCUUCAUGAAAAACUCUUUAACUUCAAAGCCUCCCUCCAAUAUGUCAGCCACCCUGAUCAAUCUUACUUUCCUGCAUCAGCUCAUCUUGCCAACCGUCACUCUAUUAGUUAUCAUCAGUCCCCACACCCACAUUCUCCUAGCAGACAUACAGGCUGGCGUUCCCCUUCCAACAACAGCAGUAUCGAUUGGCACCCAUCAUUCUCCCCAAAUACUUGUUUUUCUACUCCUUCUCAGUCAAGCUCUUUCCCUUCACGUCCUGCACGUCCCCCUUCCAAACCCUAUUUUAGUUUUUGCCAAAUCUGUCAUAUACAAGGUCAUACAGCUAAGUAUUGUCCCUCCUUUAAACUAAUAUCAAUUAUCACUUCCUCUAACACUGGUUCCCAAGUGUCCACAUCCCCCUGGCACCCAACAGCACACCUUGCUACCACCUCUGCCACCACUCCACCUUGGCUGUUAGACAGCAGAGCUUCCCAUCAUCUUACCUCUGAAUCUGCACAACCUCUCUCUUCAUGCCCCAUAUCAAGGUUCUGAUGAUAUUAUGAUCAGAGAUGGCACGACCCUUCCUAUUACACACACUGGUUCUACCUUUGUUUCCAGCUCUAAUAUUCAUUUUUCCUUAACAAAUGUUCUAUGUGUACCUAGCAUUACAAAAAAUUUGAUUUCCAUUUCCAAAUUCUACAUAUCCAAUAAUACGUCUAUUGAAUUCUUACCAUACACUUUUUUUGUCAAGGAUCUUCACACCGGAGCAAUCCUUUUGACGGGUAAAGCUAAAGAUGGUGUUUAUGCAUGGCCAACUUCCACCCCUCUGAUUACCUUUUCCAGCGUCAAAACCACCUCCUCUACCUGGCAUCACAGAUUGGGCCAUCCUGCUCUCCCUAUCUUACAACAUGUCAUUUCUAAACAUGGUCUUGAUUUAUCUUCUUCCAGUUUAUCCAAGUUGUCUUGUGAUGCCUGCCAUUGCAAUAAGAGUCACAAACUUUCAUUUUCCACUUCCACCAUUACUUCCACUCGUCCGCUGCAGAUCAUUUUCUCUGAUGUAUGGACUUCCCCAAUUCUGUCUUUUGAUGGUUUUAAGUAUUAUGUCAUUUUUGUUGAUCAUUUCACUAAGCAUAUAUGGCUAUACCCUUUAAAACAAAAAUCACACGUAAAGGACAUCUUCAUUCGGUUCAAAGCCAUUACAGAGAAAUACUUCCAUCAACACAUUCAAACCCUAUACUCAGACAAUGGUGGUGAAUAUGUGGCCCUUACCUCUCUUCUUGCAUUUCAUGGCAUUUCUCAUCGCACCACCCCCCCACACACCUGAACACAAUGGUUUUUCUAAAAACAGACACAUCUAUAUCGUUGAGACAGCUCUCACUCUUCUAUCUCAUACGUCAAUUCCUUUAUGUCACUGGCCUUAUGCUUUUGCUACAGCUGUAUACUUGAUUAAUAGGAUGCCCACUUAAACACUAAAUCUAUCAUCUCCUUACGAACAAAUCUUUGCCUCUCCUCCCAAUUACUCCAAACUUAAAGUAUUUGGUUGUCUUUGCUAUCCUUGGCUUCGUCCCUACACCCAUCACAAACUAGAACCUCGUUUUAAAUCAUGUGUCUUCUUCGGAUACUCCCUCACUCAAAGUGCUUAUCUUUGUUAUGACCCUUCCACGUCCAAAGUUUUUAUGUCCGGACAUGUUCACUUCAUCGAGUCCAUAAUUUCCUUUACAUCCACUCUUCCACAAGCUGCCCGACCUGAAUCAACCACCAUAUCUACAUGGCUACCACCACCUAUCCUACUUAGCCCUGCCCCUUUCAUCAGUCCAUCAUCUUCUACAUUGUGUUCUCCCAAUCAACUUCACUGUGAAGCUCCUAUAGUACCACACACUACAUCACCUACAUCUCAUCAUGUUCCCCUCAUCCCACCCGCACCUUGUUCUCAUUAUUAUUCCACUCCUUCUCUGUUUCCAGUGUUCUUCCUCAUAUCUUUGCUCUGGUUUCUGGGUUGAUUUUUUCUCGUCAGCUCCCCCUUAUUGCUGAGCCCCCCUCUUUUAUGGCCUUCUCUGGCUUUAUAUAAAAGCCAGAAAAUGGCUUCAUGCCUCACGAUCGUAAGGCACGUUCAUUUCUAUUUUUUUUUCCAAAAAAACAAAGUGCCACCUUUGCAAUUAACCUCCUAGCACUGGAAAUAACAACCUAGGGAUAAUGGCCAGGAGACGUGGCCCUUAAUCGGAUUGAAUUGUUGUAGAUUUCCCUGUUGAACUAGCUUCAUCCGCGCAAGCGUAGGAGACGAUGAACAAUGCUUCCAAAACAGCGCUGUUGUGUCCUUGGGCAUGACUGUUUUUCAAUUUGGUCCCUAAAUAGUUUAAAAUGUAUCAAUUGGGUCCCUUAAUCAAUAAAUUUUUAAUUUUACCUUUGGAUUAAUUUCAAUUAAGUCCCUGAAUUUAUUAAUUAAUUAAAUCAAAGUUUAAUUAAGUCCACAAACUUAUUAAUUCUUCUAAUUUCAUUAAUUUAACUAAUCUGUAUUUUAACUAAAUUUCUAAACUUAUUAAUUCUUCAAUUUCUGAUCAAUUUACUCUCAAAUCUGAUAAUUUCAUCCAUGAACUUUGAAUUUGUGUUGUUUUAACCUCAUUCUCAAAUAUAUUUUUAUCCAUUCAUUUUGUAUUAUUUAUUCAAAAAUUGGGUUAUGACAAUAAGCAUUAAUAUUUCUUUAAUUAACUAAAAUGAUAAAUUCUUCAUUAAUCAAAAUCAUGUUAGAAAUAAAUUUUAUUCAGCAUAAAAAUUAUAAUUUAUUGAUAAAAAGAUAAUAUAAUUAAAUUAUAAUUUACUCGGUCAUUAAAUCAUUUCUUCAAAUAUAUUUAAUAAUAACAUAAAUAAUUAAAUCAAUCAUGUAUAAAAUAAAAUAUUUGCACUAGUACAAAGUAAAAAACUAACAUAGUUGAAAACGCAAGAUAAUGAUUCUAUCAUAUAUACAUAUUUUUUUGUAAUCAUUCAAUCCCUACCUCUUAAUCAUUUUUAGUUAAGAUUUAACAUAUUUCUUAUAAUUUUUAAUUUUCUAAUUUUUAGAUUGAAUUUUAAAAAUUAAGCUAAUUAAAAUAUUUUACGCAAAACAAACAUACUCUAAAUUGAUGUUUGUAUGUAUUUUUUAAUGUUUUUGAUAUGAUGCUAUUAUAUUAUUUUAAUAUAUUUUCAAUUAAAAAACACUCCACAUCACAAUACAAAACAUAUAUUUAGAGUGACAACUUAAUUUUUUAUUAUUAAAUUUGUCAAACUCAACCUAACUUAUAACUUGGUUCAAAAUUCAAGUUAGAUUAACUAAUUAAGGUUAAGUCGAAUCAAUCCAAAACAAUAUCAUUUCAAGAAAAAAACUAAUAUUAUUUAAAAAAAAAUCAAGUCCAGUUUCGAUAAUAUCAAUAACCCCGAGUCACAUCCCACCUAACUUAGUUUAAAAUUCAACCUAGGUUGGAAGUUGAUUCAACUCCCUAGGUGACGUGGAAUUCAGUAACACUACUGUAUGCACCCCUUGCCACGGCAUAAAAAGAAGCAAAGUAACAAACAAAUUAAAAGUGGUCUUAUGAUAGUACGAAGAGAGGUUAGUAGUACAAUAAGCAGACAAUGACAGGUGGUGGUGACGUGGUCCCUAUUAUUGUGGCCAUCACGACAUUACGCGUAAAAAGCGUGGGCACCCAUGACCGUUCCAGUUUACCGAGUCUUCUAGGCUUCCUGUCUACUUCAUGCCCCUUCUCGCACGUUUCCUUUUGUUACCGUACUGGUUUCUUCAAUAAUUUUUUAUUUUAAGAUUAAUAUUUUUAAAAAAUAUGUUUUUGACACAUUAAUAUUAAAAAUUAAUAUAUAUAUAUAUUAUUUUAAAAUAUUUUUAAUUAAAAAUAUAUUUAAACAUGUAAUUUCUUGAAGAGAGGUUAUGAGAUUCAAUGACAACACAAAAACUUUGCCAACAGGGCUCCCAUGUUUCCUGAGAUUAUGUUUGUCAAUGUUGGAAUAUAAUUGUUUUUAUUUGUUUUUGUGUUUCAGAAAUAUUUUUUAUAUAAAAAAAAUUAAUUAAUAUUUUUUUAGUAUUUUUAUAUUAUUUUGAUACGCUGAUAUCAAAAAUAAUUUUUAAAAAAUAAAAAAAUAUAUAUAUUAUUUUGAUACAAUUUCGAGUGAAAAGCAUUUAAAAAGCAAUUGCAACCCACUCCCAAAAAAAUGGACCCAACAACAGUUUAUUUUUAUGUUUUAAAAGUAUUUUAAAAAAAAAUUAAUUUUUUUUCUUUACUUCAAAUUAAUUUUUUUAGUAUUUUUAAAUCAUUUAAUAUAUCAAUAUCAAAAAUAACUUUGAAAAAUAAACACUAUCACACUAUUAAAUACCCUCUUGAUUUCUACCAUUCUUGUACAAUAAAGUCUCGCAACCAUACUCGGGAUGAUAAUGAUAUAUUUAUUUUUUCCUAGAUGAUAAGAAGGAAUAAUUAAUAAUUAUCAUCAUCUAGGUAAGAUGAGGAUGAAGAGAUUGAAAUGUGUGGACAACGAAAGAUAUCAUCUCCAUACUCUCAAAGAAUUGCUUGGAUAAAUAAUAUUCCUUGACCAUUGAACCAAGUCUUUCAAGACACAACUUUUAUGAUUAAUUUUCUUUUUUAUUUGAGGGUUUGGAGGGUAAGAGGAAUUUUGGAAUCCGUUUGUGUAUAAACGAUACAUUUUUUAGCAUGCUUUAUGAUUAAUGUAGUGGAUUUAUAAGAUAAAUUCUUUCAAAAAGUUAAAAAAAAAAUAGAACAAUAGAUUUUUUUCUUAGAGUUAAGUUUAAAUUAUUUCUAAAUCAUACAAGAUUUUUAUUCAUAGCCUCUAUAGUCUCUAUAUAUAUAUAUGUAUAUAUAUAGGCUCAUACAAUUGGACCAUGGGUUAAUUUAAGAUUAAUUUUGAAGUAACAAGACUCCAUCAGCUCUUCUUGCAUGAUUAAUUUGGACCAUGGGUGUAAGGCCUGGUUGGACCUUAGCUUAAGAGCUGGAUCCAAUUCAAUAUUCUUAGUAACUAUGAAACAAUUUAAGCCCUAUGACGUUGCCUCCUCCUGGGGGAGAAAAAAAAUGUAAUAAAAAAAAAAAAAGCUUGAAUCAAUUUAAUACAUGACUUGUCGAAGGUUAUAAAACUCAAGAGUAAAAAAUAAAAAGAUAAUGCGGCUUGCUUGUACACACAUUUUGAAACCUUGUUUUUAAUGGAGGGUUUACUCGCGGUCUGAACGGAAUCGAUUUUUUUCACAAUCAAAUUAGUGGGUCAAUUCUUGAUCCAGGUGACUUGGUCAAAACGAUAUUGUUAUGAAUAAGAAUUAAAAAACAAAAAUAAUUAAAUCGGGUCAACUUAUUGACUCAUGAAUUGACUCAUUACCGCAAGCUUGGAUCAUUGAAUCGGACCGUGAGCCAGGUUUGUGAACAAAGUAGGUGCACCAUUUUGGUGGGCAGGUAAUGAUAAAAAUAAAAGACUGAAACAAUGGUCAAGAUUGUGGUGUAGGUAGGGGAUGGUUUCGUGCAUGGAUUGGGCUUCUAAUUAAUAAGUGCUUGACUUCAAAUUAGCAUUGACUCGAAAAGUAUAAAAGGAAGACUUUUACAUGUACCUUGAAUAGGCCUUUUCUUUUUUAAUUUUGAUUUUGAUUAUAUUUUAAGGUUCUUAUCUUAUCCUUGCCAGUUAGGCCCACCAUAUUUUGACUACAGAUAUUCAAAUUUGGUGAACAUUUUAUGGGAAAACAAAAAAUAAUAAUAUUAGUAAUAAGAGACCAAACCAAAUAAUAAUAUUUAGCAAAAAUAUAAAUUAUGAAGAGUUUGAACAUGUAUAAAAAGAAUUUAAAGGGGAAGGUAAAUUAAUUGUGUAUAUAGACUCAGUUUAUUAUUUAUUGCUGUAAUAUAAAUAUCAUUUUGUCCUUCUCCAAAAUAUUUAAAAAAAACAAAAAAAAAGUUGGCUCAAUUUACUAUUCAUUGCUACAGUGUAAAUAUUGUUUGUCCCUUCUCAAAAUAUUAAAAGAUAGAUAAAGGGGAAGGCAAAUUUAUUAUAGACUCGGUUUACUUAGUAUAAAUAUUGUUUUGCCUUUCUUAGGAAAAUCCAAUGGCCUUGGUGUUAAGUUUAUAUAUAUAUAUAUAUAUAAAGGAAUUUACUUAUGUUAUUUAGGGGCUCUUUCAAGCGUUCUUUGUAUUAAAAAUUUUAAUGCUUGUAUUUAAGGGUGUUUUUGUCUUUUCACUCUAGUUUUUUUAUUUUCAAGUUGAUCAAGGGUAAUUUAGUCAUUUAAUAAACAUAAAAUAUUAUUAAAACAUAAAAAGAUGUUAAGGUGUGCACCGCACGUGCUAACAUGUAGAAAGCAUCUGCAGCCUUAUAGCAGCACAUGCAGUGCUUCCCGAUAUUUAAAAAAUAUCCAUGUUGUAUUGAUGGAAUUGCCAUGGCAUCUUCUUCCUGGUGGGGCGAAGUGUGGAAACGAUGGUAGGGUGAAGCGAGGCAACAAUGAAGUUUUCUUUUCAUUUGCUCUCUCCUCCCUUGAAAAACAUGUUGGGUAUUCAACAUUUCAAAGUUGUCUUUUUAGUUAUUGAUAUUUUAAAUUUUGUCUUUAUUAUUUUGAUUUUUAAUUUUUGCUCUUAACCAUUUUGUAAAUGUUUUGUUUAUUUUCAAUUUCUUUCUUCAAUUUAAAUUUGUGGUGUAUUGUUUUUCUUAAAUUUGGUCCUAUUCUUUUUAUUUAUGAUUUUUUAAAAAAAGUUUUAUAUAAUUUUUAUUUGUUUUUUAUUUCAUCCUUUAAUCCAAAUUUAUAGUAAUUUUUUUCAAUGUAGUUCUCAAAAAUCAAUUUUGUUCAAUGUAGUUCUUCAAUUGUUUGUUUCACGUAAAAAAUCUAAAUUGAUGUUUUUCUCUCUCUCUUUUACCUAGUUUCAUUAUUUCAUAUUUAAUUAGCUAAAAUUCGAACUGAAUUAUUUUUCUUUUUUUGAAAAAAAAUCAAAUUAUCUAGAUCAUUUUUUUAAAGUUUAGUUUCGUUUGUUAUCAUUGCCAAUUUUUUUUUAUUUAAUUAAAAUAAAACUUAUUUAUUUAGCAUCGUCUAGUCUAUGCUUCAAAUCAUAAAUUUUCUAAAAACAAAAGUGUCUGCGGCUCUUAGCAUAGUACUAUCGCAAACACUAACUAAUAUUUUAAUUAUAUAUCUUAAAAUUUGGAACAUAUAUAGGUGAAAUGUUUUUCUCGUUUUCUCUUUUUCCUUUUUAAAUUCUACAUUCGAAUUUCUUUUUCACACCUUCCAGCCCGCCUUGGCUUGUCCCUUUUAUAAUGGUUGUCGCCUCCAACCUCACGCAAAUAUUCUUGUGUGACUCAUGAAUGAGAAGAGCACCGUCGACAACUUCAUUUUCCAGCUUUUAUUGUAUAUGUAAAAUGCAUAAAAUAUGUUCAGUUUGUGAAUGUGGAAAAAGCUUUUCCUCUUGGAAAAUCAAAACGUGUUCACAUACAAGUUAUACUCUAUUAAAACAUUGGAAAAAUUAAUGCUGCUUUACUGUUCACAAGUUUUUUUUUUUCAAACUUUUCGCUCUUUUAUUUUCCUUUUCAACUAUACAUGUUAUUCGACACUUUAUUGAUUUUUAAUUAUUUAUUAUAAUUUAUUUUUGUUUGUUUUUUAUAAGAUUAUUUCAAUUUCAAACAAACAUUUCAAUAUUAAUUAGUUGGUACUCAAUUUUUAUAAAUAUUUAUUUUUAUUAUCAUAUUAUUCAAUAAAAAUUAAAAAAAAAUUGAAACAAUGUAGUUUGCAAGUUCAUAUAAGUUUUAACCAAAUUAGCCGAGUCACGGAUUAAUUCACCAAGCUAAACUAAAUCAAUUUUAAGUUAAUGUUUUUUAACACUUGAGCUAGAUUAAAAGUCAGGUUAAUUAUGUUUUAAGUCAAUCACCGAGCCAAUCUUGGUUUAGUGACGGUUGUUUCAAUUGCUACCUUACUUUCAUUUGCUCAUCACUAUUUGUCUUGUUGAAAAUAUAUUGUUUUUUAGUAAAAUUUCUUCCUCCUCCUCACGUGUGGUUUCCUCAGUCGAAUUUGAUGGAAUAGUCUAGCUAAUGAAAAUUAUAUUCUUCAUUGGACCAGAUUAUUAUCAAGCAGUCUCGUUUGUCCAAAGAUUCUGUUUGCAUUAGCAGAAUUCAGACAUCAUUGAAACAGGCUGUCUUAGCCGUCAUGUAAAGAAAUUAAUCAAAGAUUUGUUGGUUUAGAGAUCUUGAGUUUCCUGGUUUUGAAAAUGAACCACAUUUAUUAGAAUAUUCUCUCUCAAAUGCGCCUACCAUGUGGAAAAAUCAAUUUAAUUCUAUUUUAACUUGGACCGUAUUUUUUUUAGAUUAUGCUUGAUCAUUGAUGUUUCAAAACAUAGAUACUAAACAUUUUUAAUUGAAAAAUUCAACACAAAAAUAUAAAAUAAAUAUAUUUUUUAAACAAUUUUAAAAUGAAUUUUUAUACUCAAAAAAACAUUUACACUCUAUCUUCGUGUAUUUUAUUAGGAAAUAGAAAUCAAACACUACCUACUUGUAAAGUUUGCAUGUCUUAACCUUCAACUUUACUCAAUUUUAUGUGUUCACAUUUUUCUAUUUCAGUUUGUUUUGUUGAUUCGAAGGGAAACCAGUACUAACUUUUAGUUAAUUCAAGCCUUUUUGGUGGAAAAUCUUAUCUAGGUCACUCCAUAGUCAAUUGAUUAGUCCUUUGUUGGCUCAGAAUAUGAUUAUAUUUGCUAUUAAUUAAGAAGUGGCAUAGCAUCGAGUUUAAUUUGCUUUUAUAUCUCAUCUUUCUAAAGGAUUUCAAGUUCAAUUUUUUUAUUGAAAAAAUGAAAUGGAAUCAGAAUAUUCACAUUUAAAUAAUGGAGAUUGAACAUUGAAAAAAAUCAAUGCUUAAAUUAGACAAAUUAAGAGGGUAACUACAUCAUAUGAAGCCCAAAUUUUCGAAGAUUUUCUAAUUGACUAAAGUACAAAGGUAUGAAGAAUAUUUUGUAGAGUGUGUGUGUGAAAGGUAUCUAUAUGUUGAUUAAUUCUUGCUAAAAAGAUGUCCCAUUUUAAAUUGUAACUUAUGACCUUUUAAAUGGAGUUAGUUCAUAAAAACCAUGACCCAUCAGUGUCUGUGUUUUGACAAAGAUAAAUGGAAAAUUAAGUUAAUGUGAAGGGGAUUAAGUUGUUUUUCUUUGUUUGAAUACUAAAAUUAUGAAUACUAAAAAAGGGAAAAGAGGAAAAAAUAAAUCUUUGAAUUUUAUUUUCCACACACAUUUUUUUUUCUUUUAAAUUGGAUUGAAAGAGAAGGAAUUGAAAAAAUUAACAUAAUUCUUCUUAUUGUAUCCUCUAAAAAUUCUUUUCUUUUCUCUUGAACCAAAAAAAAGAGAGAGAAAUCCCUUCUUUCUCUCCGUUUAAUUUCUCUUUUAUUCUUUAGUAUUUUUAUAUAUUUUUUAAUUACCAUACAUACCGGUAAUGCUUCUAGGCACCACUUUUCUCACCAUGUAGAUUAGAAAGGAAAGAAAAACAAAUGAUUAAAGUAAAAAAAGAAGAAAAUAGAGAACCAUAGUCCUUCGAAAACAGGGAAGGAGACUCGAGUCUUUGGCACUUAGUAGUGACCUUUUACACGUUUUUGGACCCAAGAAAAAAAGAAAAUAGGAGAACCAAAGUAAAGUAACCAUAGUCUAGACUUACCCAAACAAGCUUAUGUCAUUGAUCUUACGUUUGAUUUUCUCACUCUAGUCCAAGGAUUCAUUUGAUAAAUACAAGCUCAUGUAUCUAGCUAGCUAAUUUUUUCCAACACGUGGAUUGAUUUCAACAAAUUCGCCCUUCGCUAGUCAGCACAAUUUAAGACCAAAUUAUCAAUCUUUUUCUAUAAUUUAAUUUCUUAAGACACAGCAGCCACCUACUUAUGGUCAUCCUUGCAGGCUGUGUGAACGAAACGUCGUCCAAACAAAAAAUUCUAACCUCUAUGCACGAGAGGUCAACAUUCACUUAUAAAUAAGGGCCUAUACGUCUCCUAUUUGCCUUUUCUAAUAACACUCCUGGCAACAUUUUCAUCCAUACUGUAUAGUAUUGAAGCUAUCUUGAUAUUCUUAAGCUCACAAACCAUGGAUGUCUUUCCCUCUUGCAAAGAAAAGGUAUGUUUUCUUCUAGUUGUGUGUGUGUGUGUGUGUGUGUGAAUACUACUACUAGUUCUUGGAGAAGAGUAUAGAGGGGGGGGGGGGCAAAGAAAAACGUUGAGCAUAUAUGAAAUAAGGAGCAGGAAAUAGAUAAAAGUUCGUACAUAAUGAUUUAGGGUUUCUUGCUGAAAAAUGAAGUUGAUGUUUCUCAAGCAGUAGAUGUUAUCUUACUCAGGUGGAAGCUCUUCAAUUCGAGUUGGAACACAGGCAGAAAGAGAAUGAAAAACUUAGAUUUAUGCUUGAAGUUAUGACCAGAAGAUUCAGCAUUCUUCAAGCAGAGAUUCAAGAAACCAAAGAACAUCAGCAAAAGGCAGCAAGCAACUUAACGGAGGGAGAUCAAGCUUGUCAUGAAAUCCAUGACUCGAACAAGAGAGCAAGAUUUGAAGUUCCCAUAACCAAGGCGUCGAGAAUCUUGGUGAGAAGUCACUCCAAUGACAAGAGCCUGGUAAGUUCCUCUAGUCAUCAGUUAUAUAUAUACAUAAUUUGUACAUGAAGUUUUUGAGUUGAAGAUUCCAAGAUCUUACAUAUGAUAAUAGAAAGCUCUUUCACAAAUGUGAAUUUAGAUUGUGAAAGAUGGAUAUCAAUGGAGAAAGUAUGGCCAGAAGGUUACUAAGGACAACCCAUCACCUCGAGCUUACUUCAGGUGUUCCAUGGCUCCUAAUUGCCCCGUCAAGAAGAAGGUACGUCUGCUCGAGUUAAUUUUCUUCUGAAAACCAGUCAAAAAAAACAUCUGUAAAUAGUAUCCUGAAGUUUAUGUCGAGAGAGAGCUUUCAAAGGGCACCUUCAAGGUUCAUGUGUGCAAUCAAGAACAGUACUGAGCAUGUGAUAACACCAGUCUUCUUUGAUUUAUCCUUGGUUUUCAGGUCCAGAGAUGUGUAGACGAUGAUUCAGUACUUGUUGCAACUUACGAUGGAGAACACAACCACGAACCCAAUGGCUCCCAUGGACAAUAUUUAUGUUCUCCAAAUAGCUCAUCAUCAAACAUUUCCAUAACUAAUCAUGUCCUCAAGUGUCCAAUCGAAAUUCCUCCUCUUCAACCAUCUAUAGCUCUUGAUCUUACUCUUUCAAGACCCAGUAUUAAUCAACAGGAGGAAAAACCUUCUAAAAGAUCCAUGGAAGACUGCGGCAAGAUUAAUAAUAACCACAGCAAGAACAACAUUGAAGAAUAUGUGGCAUCUUUAACUAAAGAUCCUAACUUCUCUGUAGCUUUAGCUGCGGCUGUUGCAAGUUCAAUGAGUGACCUGUCUGCGUCAAGAAUGCUGUGAAAUAAUUAUUGUCUUAUUUAUGAAAAGUUUAUGCUCUUUCUCUCCUGGCUACGUUUGUAUUUGCUUGUGUUCUUACGCUCCCCAUAUGUAUAAAAACAAAAAAUGAAUAAAAUAAAAAAAUUCAAAAAGUUAUAAAAAAAUUAUUUAUUAUUAUUAUUAAAUUUAAUUUAGUAUAUUAAUUUUAAAAUCUUUUCAUUUACCACAGGAGGGAAUUGCCUAGUUAAUUUGGUUGGUAUAAAAACAACUUCAACGUGAUCAAAAAAAAUAAAAAUAAAAAUAAAACGAAAAAUAAUGAAAUUGACUGGAAAAUAAUUAUGGCUCAACUCUUUAUCUAAUUCGUGUUUAAAAUUAAAAUAUAAAUAUAAUUCAUAUAACUUGAUCACUCAGUUAAUUAAAAAAAAAAUUAAAUAAUAUUGAUGGGAAAAAAAGGUAAUUUAUUUACUCAACCAUUUACUUAAUAAAUAUUUAAAAUUAAACUAUAUAAAAUUUAUUUCAUUAGAGUAUUUAUUUUUCUAAACAUAACUAGAAUAAUUAUUUAAAAAAAAACAUGUUUCAAUGUUUAUAUUUAUGUUUGGGAAUGUUGUUAGCUGUAAUUUCUUAAAAUUUUUAAAUUUUUUAAAAAUUUUAUUUUUUAUAUUUUUAUAUAGUUUUUAUUUUUUAUAUUAAAAAUAUAUUUUAAAAAAUAAAACAUAUUUUUUAAUAAAAUAUAUUUUGAUAACAACAACAAAUACGCAAUAAAUCAAGUCGUCAUCGGUGAAACUCCACUAUCUUUCAGCAGAGUUCUAAAGGAACUGGUGAAAGACAAGCAACAAUCAUCAAAGGCCACAAAAAUUCUGACAUAACAUCAGAGUCAAAAUCUAAUCCCCAUAAAAAUUUGACAGCCUCGUAUAAAAAAUUAAUUUAAAUCAUCUGAGAAAUUUCACCAUCAUAUUCAAUUAUUUAAAUGAGAAUUUGUGGCUGGAUUCUUUUUCCCAUUCAGCUAUAAUAAAUAUUGCGAUAGUUUUAUAUUCAUAUGAUAUCAAACCCAAUUCUACAUAUUAAACAUCUUUAAAAAUGUAAUUAUGAUUAAUUUUUAAAGUAUUUUUUAUUUAAAAAUAUAUUAAAAUAAUAUUUUUUUUUAUUUUUUAAAAAUUAUUUUUAACAUCAACUCAUCAAAAUAAUAUAAAAAUACUAAAAAAUAUUAAUUUGAAAUAGAAAAAAAUAAAAAAAAUUGAUUUUUUUUUAAAUACUUUCAAAACACAAAACAAAUAGCGCCUAAGAUAUUAUAUAAUCCACAUAACUCUAAAUUUAAAUCCUUGUUAUAUAAAGACUUUAUGUUAAAUAAUAAAAAUAUUUUAUGGAUUAAAAUAUAUUCUCUAUAAAUAUGUGCUUAGAUUAUUAUUAUUUUUUUAAAGAUGAUCCUGCAUAUAUGCGCUCUUGUGCUAAGAAAUAACUAACAAUAGAAAUUUAUGAAGACUUAGGAUUUAAGCUUAAAAAUUCUUUAAAACUUGUAAUGGUUUCAACUUCAAUAAAAUCUUCAUAGUCGAACCAUGUAGCAAAUUUCGUCAGCAAAAAGUCUUCAGCUUUAAGUCCAAAUCUGCAGACCGCGACGCUCUCAUGAUCAUGUUUUCCCGACGAAUAUUUUGCAGCAGGAGAUUCUUUAUUUUAUAGUGUAUUAGUGGGUUUUUUUUCCAAAGAGACAUGAGUGUUCUUGAUUCAGGGGCUCGACUCUCUCUACAUACAUGAUCAUUGAAAUGUUUUUUUAGUAUAGGAGAUCAAGUGAUAAUGUAUUAAAAAAAUAUAUAAAAUAUCAAGCAAAACAAGAAUAUUUCUAGCUCUUAUAUCUCAGAGACAACACAAGGAGCUUCAAGGGAUCUUUUUAUCCAGGUACUGCUGGUAGUCUGCUGCCCAGUUCUUGUAAAGACAUGGCCAUGGCUCUGUUCUUGGGGAUUUUCUCAAGGCAACAAAGAUGGCACACCAAUAUUUGAUCCUGCCUUUAUACAUUUGUCUCUAGAAAUUUAUUUAUUUAUUUUGCUAUUAGUAACUCUAUGCCUGGUUGUUGACAAUGGCUUCAGACAAUUAUCCCAUCCAAUUGGAAACUACAUUGUCUUCUUCAUUUCUUUGAGAAAUGAGGCUCUUAAUGAAUCGUGGUAUUCAACAAUGACUACUUAUAGACAUUUACAUCACUAUACAUCAGAAUGUACAUGACAAACAACACUCCUACCAUCUAGCUACCGAUAUGAAUUAUGGAAAACCGAACUAUAACCGAUCUUGACAACAAGAUUCUAGUGUCUUGCACUUUGUCUUCAAAGAUUGCCAACAUCUGUGCUCCAAAAGCAAAGAAACUUUGUAAACAAUGGUGCAGAUGAAGUAUAAGGAUAACACUGAAACAGCAACGGAAGUGAAGAACCCCGAAACACACAAGCAUGUAAGAAAGGGUUGCCACAAAAAACUGAGUAUCCGUCCCUGCCAUGUACACCUGCAUUUUAAGUGCUUAAUACUUGCUGCAAUGUAUAACACUUCUCUGGAUUUGAAUUCUAGUUUUGCCCUUUUAGUGAGUGCCUCAGCUUUGCUUGUAACGGGCCUUCAACCACGGUGGGCAAUGGUGUUGUCUGCAAGAGAACAGGUCCUGAUUGGAUUGGCAGAAUAUGGUGUACACGCACUUGAUCAUUUGAAGAUCCCACUUUUGAUAGGUGUCUGUACCAAGUUUUCAGACAGCUUUCUCGGAGAAGCCAUCAUGGACUUCUCAUUUUGAGCAUCCUUUUCUGCUUUUUUCUUUUCCAAUUCAAGUUGUUUUUUGUUUUCAUCAUGUGCUCGGACGAACAUCCUCACAAAAUUGAGCAGAGUGGACACAACUAUAGAACGAAGAUAGAAAGUGAGAGGUCCCCAAGUAUACAAAUGACAUUCAAGAGCCAAUGAUAAUAUUUAAGCAUCGUGUAAAUAUCAUAACCAUACACGCAGAAAACAUGGAUAUGCACAUGUAUACAUAUGCAAAAACUGUAUAGUGAAGAGUGUGUUAAUUUAGUAAUUAUUGAAUACAGCAUUACUAAUGAUGGGCUGAAAAUUAAAAUAUUGCAGCCUAAUUGACACCAUUCAGAUUCCUAGAAUAAGAGAGAGCUGCAGAAAUUGGAAUCUAUGUGGGAUAUCCAUUUUAACAAAGUUAGUAUAUACUGGAAAAUACCUUGCUCAAAUGGGCAACGUGCCGGAUCUUCCCCAAAAUAAAAAGCCAGUGCAUCUGCAUUUCUACCCUAAAACAUUCAAAUUCGGAAAACAAAAAUCACUGGCAGUGAGUGUUCAAGUUGAAGCACAGCAUUUUUGUUCAAAGUCAGCUUGUCAAAACAAAAGUUCAUAUACAUACCACGGAGGAAUAAAGGGAAGCCAAAGACCUCACUUCACUUUCAGCAAAAGCAAGAAAAACCUUGAGAUUCUGAACAUUUCCAAGGGACAAGAUAAAAAAGAUAUUAAUGAGUACAAUCUGCCAAGGUAAAGGAUAUUCAGUGUGCAUGUGUGCCUGCAUGCAUGCCAAUGGUGAGUAAUUCCAUUUACUGCAGGCAAUUCCGGCAACAAAUCCUAAGAAACCUUUAUCCACAGUGAAGAGAGUAGCUGAAAAGGACUUGCCUUGCAAAAACUUUCUGAGACCAAACCAUCAUUCUCUGAAGCAGUCAAUUCCUGCAUAACUUUUUCAAGUCCUUUACUAACAGCUUGCAUUUCCUCUGCCAAAUAUUUCAAUUGUAUCUGCAAAAAAUACAACAUGUAGCUUAGCAAGCAAACAAUGUAAUAGAAACUGAAAUUGCCAACAAAAAACACAUACACAAAAAGGAGGAGGAGGAGGAUUACUUUUGUUGCAGCCUCCAAAUUCACAAGAUCCUUAGAAAAAUCUAGCAGUUCUGGAAGCUUUUCAGCCAGUACCUAAAAUUCAUAUAAAAAGAUUCAACACCAAACCCAAAUAAAUAUUUUUGUCCGGAGUCUUAUUUUCCAUUUAUUUGGUAUCCUCUAAUGUUCAAUGAGCACAAAAUAUAGGAAAGUUCUGCAAAAAUGUUAACAAUUGCAAAUAUAUUUCUCAACCAAAAAGAAGAGGAAAGGAAAAACAGAUUCACACUCUCUGAGGAUUAGAUUUCAAGAU
Molecule: long non-coding RNA, 78659 nt
Filed under: Populus tremula
Lineage: Eukaryota; Viridiplantae; Streptophyta; Magnoliopsida; Malpighiales; Salicaceae
Description: long non-coding RNA (PTRE_LNC001569)
Source: RNAcentral